CAUGCACUGAUUUCUCUGAAUCAACACUAAAUCUUGUGGUUAUGUUGGGACAACCUUCUACUUGUAAAUCAAUCAAAAAUGGGAAAACAAAAUGAUAACCCACAGGGCUGAAGCUCACGAGGUUUGGUAGCUCAUCAAGCCGUAAGUAAGUUAAUCGAGGUAGGUGCAUCACUUUCUCUUCGUCCUUACUCACAUUUGGCUCAUCUCCUUCAAACACUUGCUUUAAUUUGGAGACCCUUCUAAGGUAUAAUCGACCUAGGUUUGGAAGGCCGCCAUGAGCAAGAGUAAGGGGAAGAGACAUUUCAAGUUUUCACAGUUAAUGAUUCUAAUCAAAUUCAAAUUAGGGAAGCAAAUAGGAUGGAGAUGAUGUUGUGAUGAAGUUUGAUCCUUCUCAAUUAUUUGCUCCAAAUUCCUCACACUCAGAUUUAUCCAAAGUCCACAAUUGUGGAAAAUUUCGAGCGAUGGUAGGUGAGAAGAUGUAUCUUAGCCUUCUGCAAUCAUGGACUGUCAAUGAGUGAGAUUUUGAAAGUGUUCAACUUGGAUGGGACCACUCCAUAUCACCCGCGAUUCAGUUAGUUUGGACAACAUUAGGAUCUUUAGAGUUGAAAGAUUAUAUCCAGAAUAUUCAAAUAACUCUUCAAAAUUGGAAAUUGUUAAAUAUUCCGUACAUGUUGAUGUUCCUCCUCUCCUUUCAGGGACUGUCACGUUGCUUAUUUGCUUCUUUUCUGUCAUCUCUGACAACUCCAAUUCCUAUAAACAUAUCAUCAAUUUAAGAAUAAGCACAAGAUUUCUUUUUCAAUCUUUUAUAGUCAAAGAAUUCAAAUUUUUAAAAAGUUUACUGUUCAACUCAAAUAAUCAUAAAUUACAAAAAAAAAAUAUGGGAGGGUUUGGGUAAAAAUAUAGGCCCGAAAUAUGGGCUUGGACAAAAAAAUUAGGCCAGUUUAGAAAACGGGCCGAGCCUCAAGUACCACUUUUUUGGCCCAGGCCCGGCCCAGCCCGAAUAUAAUAAAUAUAUUUUUUAUUUUUAAAAAUAUUUUUAAAAUACUUUUUUUAAACUUUUUUUAUUUUUAAAAUACUUUUUUUAAUUUUUAAAAUUUUUUUGGUGUUUAUUUAAAAAAUGGGUCGGGCCGGGCCCAGGCUUAGGAAUUUUUCCCGGGCCGGGCCUGGACAAAAUUUUAGGCCCAUAUUUCGGGCCGGGCCGAGCCCGGGCCUAGGACAAUGGCUAAAAUUUUUUUUAUGGGCCCGGCCCGGCCCAUGAGUACCUCUAGUCGCCACCGAUAUUUUUUUGAGGUGUGAUCAGAUCACCUUAAAAUAAUUUUGGUCUACGAAUAAAAAUGGGUUCGGGAGCCAGUUACGCACGAGGAAGGAUUAGCACUCUUGUAACACCCAAAAUUGGUACCGAAUUGAUUAAUUAAUAUCUUAAAGUCGAAUGUCAAAAAUUUGAAAAGAUUAAAAAUGAUCCCCCUCUUAUUAAUAACAUAUUUUUAAACAAUAUUUGUAUAAAUUUGAACAUAUGUAGAAAGACCCUCUCAUCUCGAGGCAAUAAAAUAUCGUAUCUCGUAAGUUAGGAUGCAACAUUUGAAUACUCAAGCAUAAGCUAACCUUUAAAAACCUUUAUUGAAACUUUAUAUAUUUGAAAACUAAAAAUAUUUGACCAUCUUGGUUCAAUGAGGAAAUCGAAACCCUGUAAGUUAGGGCACAGUUCCUUGAAGUUCCAAAGACGACAUAUAAGUUUGCCUUUAUUAAGAAAAACAUCAUCUCGAGAUAUUGAAAUGUCAUAUCCAAUGAGUUAGGACACAACGUUUCGAAUUCCCGAGAUAAGUUUUGAUUUGAAAUUUUUACAUUUGAAUUGAAAAAGGGAUACUCAGUUACUUAAAUUCAACGAGGAAAAUUGAAGCCCAGUAAGUUAGGGCACAAUCUUCUCGAAAAUCUUGGAUACCGAGUAUUGCUUUAUUUUGAAAACUUUUGAAUAAAACGAUUUUAAUGCUUUAAUGAAUCGUAAUCUUUUUGACAAAUGAAACGCAAUGGGAUGACAAUGUAUAACGCGAAAUGAUAGUAAACUAAAAUGUACGCUAAUGAGCGGCAAAGAAUCAAUAAAUACGAAUAAAAAACACCAUACAUAUAAGAGCAAUAAUCUCACAUCACAUGUAAAUAUCAACAUUUAAAAGCUAAUGAACUAAAAGCUAAUCUUAAAAGAAGUACCAAGCAAAUUAACACAAAUAAAAUGUAACAAGUUAUUAAAAUAACUAAAAAAAACAAAUAACAUGAAAGAAGGGAAAUUAUAUAUUAAAAUAAAAAUUUUAUAAUAACUAAAAAAACAAAUAACAUGAAAUAAGUAAUACAUAUAGAAUGAAAAACUUCAUAUAAAUAAUAGUAUAUAGUAGUAUAUGUAAAAGGUUAGAAUGGGCAAAAUAUAAUAAAAUAAUAUUUUUUAAAUGAAAAUAAAUCAUAGAUAUAGAGACAGAUAAAAAAAAAGAUGUAUAGUAAUAUGAAAUCACAAUAUAUUGUGUAUGUAUGUAUGUAUAAUAAAAAUAAUUUAAUAUAAAUUGUGUACAUAUAUAAAAAAUAGUAUUGUAUAAGAAUAUUAUUGUAUAAAUCUUUAAAGAUGAAAUAUAUAAAAGUGGAUUUUAAAAGUAUAUUAUAAAAUAAAAGUUAUUAAAAAUAUAUAUUAUAUUGGAUUAAUAGGAAGAAAAUAAAAUAAUUCAUUAUAAAAUUAAAUAAUAAUGAAUGAUAAUAAUAUAAAAAAAUUUAAAAUAAUAGUACUUAAUAGGAUAAUAUAUAUAUAAUAAGUAAAGGAAAAUAUAACCAAAUAUAAUAAUAAUAUAAAUAAUAAUAAAAUUAAUAAUAAAUUAAAAUUAAACUAAUUAAUUUAAUAGCAAAAAUAACAAGACAAAGGACUAAUUUGGAAUUAAAACAGAAAUGUAGGGGCAAAUCUGAAAUAAAUAAAAAGGAAAGAACCACAAUGAACGCGCGAAUAAAAGCGAAGGGCCAAAAGGAAAAUUAAUCCUUGCCUUCCAAAACGACGUCGUUCGAUUUUGGACCUAAUUGAAAUAAAAAUAAAUAAUGGGGUACAAAUUAAAGAUAAGAAAGACUUGAUUGCAAACACACAAAAAAGAGGAAGGGCUAAAGGUGCAACUAGCCCCUCCAUUAGAAUACACGCGGAUCGUAGGUCCGGAUCGGGUCGCGGGUUGGCCCCCAAAACGACGUCAUUUUGGGCGUCUGGGGGUCCUAAUGAAACGGCGCCGUAUUGUAUUAUUAUUUAAAAAACAUUUUGUAGCCCAUUUGUUUUUUAAAAACUACUGUUUUCUUCCUCCUCUAGGGUUUCGCCCACAGCCCCUAUGGUGCCACCAUAUCCGCCGCUCCUUCGCCAUGGCUCCGCCAAGGACGGCGAUCUAUGCCGGCGAGGAGAUCACGGACCCUUGGUAAGUCCCCUCUCUUCCCCUCUCUAUUAUUCUUUUUUUUUUGUAUUUAAAAAAAAAAGCAAAUCGAAACUAAAAGGAAAAAACAAAAAGAAAAAAAACAGAAUACUACCUUCUCUCUAUUUUCGUAUUUGAAAUUUUCUACUUGUGAUAAAUAUUCUUUUGCUUUUUUUUAUUUCCUUCGUGAAUCCCUUUACAGAUGCAAAAAUCGGCUUUAUAUAGCCGAAUGAAAAUACAAAAAUUAUUUAUUUUUUCUUUUAUAUUUUCUCUACUAUUUGCUGUCACUGUUUGUUGUGAUUUGCGUUCGUUGCAGGUUCGACCAGCCUAGAGUAGAGGUGCUCAUGGGCCGGACGGUUCGACCCGGCCCGACGGCCCGCCCGAAAAAUGGGAGGGUUCGGGUAAAAAUAUAGGCCCGAAAUAUGGGUUUGGGUAAGAAAUGAGGCCCGUUUUAAAAACGGGCCGGGCCUCGGGUAAAAUUUUUUUGGCCGCCCGAAUUUAAUUAAUAUAUCUUUUUAUUUUUAAAAUUGAUUAUUAGUUAUUAGUAAUAACUUAUUAGUGUCAGUUUUCAUUAAUACAUUUCCCAUUUCCUUUCCCUUCCCUUCCCCAUUUCCCCGACCCCAGAUAAAUCCCUAACCCCUUCCCUUCCUUUUUUUUCCCCCAAAUUGGAAAUCCACCUCCACCUCCACCUCCACCGAUCCACGACUCCACGACCACGACUCCACGACUCCACGACUCAACGGUGCUUCUAGCCUUCUUCGUCUUCUCAAAGGUGAGUUUGUUGUUAACCUUUGAAUUAGUUUUUUGCUUUGUGCUUUUCGAUUUUUAUUUUUAUUCGAAUCAGUUCCCUCAUUCUCUUUCAAUUACAGAGGAAUAGGAAGGUCUAACAGACUAACACAAACAGUAGAUGUAUAAUUUCAUUUGAUGUAUAAUUUCUUUUGGUUGGAUUAUUUUUCAUUUGAUGUAUAAUUUCAGAUAUUUGUUGAAAGCCCAGAUGCUAAAACUUCAAUUUCGAUUUUUUUAUUAUUGUUAUUUUUUGGUUUUGGAUUUAUAGGUACUUUCAAUUCUGGGAUUAUUUUACUUUCUGAAUCACUGAAUUGAUUUUAGCUCCUAAAAAGCAUAUAUUUUUAAGAACCGGGAUAGUGCUUGAUUUUGACUUUGAUCCUUUACUUGAAGAUUCAUUUUAGAUCUUUAUUUAGUUGGAAUACUGCUGAGAGAUUGAGUUACUUAAAUCUCCCUUGCAAACCCUUUUUUCUCUUCUAUUUGACGCAUAAGUUUUGCUUUAUUUGGAUGUGAAAUCUAUUUGAAGAUCUAACUAAAACUCAUGUUUUUGAGUAUUUUUUUGUUUUUUUGUUUGUUUUGUCACAGAACUUUUUUCACUACUGGGAAAGAAUACUUGGGCAAUGAUUUCAAUUCCAUGUCAACUUUAUUUUUUCACUACUGGGAAAGAAUACUCGGAAACACCUUCACAGUUCACACCCUAGCAUUUAACUCUAAUGAUUUGCCUCCUUAUCGUGAUAUUACCCCUUAACAACAGUAUACGUGCAUUCAUUCACUGGAGCCUUGAUCAUCAAUUUGUUUCUGUACUUUUCAAUGCUUGAUUAAUUAAUUCUGCACUUUUCAAUGCUUGAUUUUGUUGUGAUUAUUAUGAUUAACAACAAACAUAUGGCUAAAACUUUGUACUAACAUUUAAACAGUGGCAUUCAAAUUUUUUUAGAUUUAUUCUGAUUGGUUAUCAUAUUCUUUCUUGAUAUGCUAUGCUAGAUUUGGACAUUCAUUUGAUACAUUCUAGUUGAUCUCAUUUUCAUCUAGUAACUUUGAUCUUUGGAUUAAAACUUUUAAAAAAGAAAAAAAGUUGAGCUUUACCAUUUUAAGUAUAGAGUACAGAUUACAGAAUAAGAACUGAGACUGACUCCAUAUUUUAAAAUUUAUGUAAUAAGUAAUUUUUGACUACUUUUGUCUUAUUAAAUUGAGUAUGGAACUAUGGAUCAAAGAUCCAUGAGAGUAAUAGUAUGGAUCAAUUUUGAUAUUGUUCUCCUUUAAAAACAUAAAAAUGUAAUGAAAUGAUAAACUUUAAAAUGUUAUAUACAAAAAAAAAUGCAAUUUGAUAUUUGAUAUAAAUUCAAUAACAACCUUUUAAGUCAAAAAAAAAAAUGGGCCGGGCCUGGCCCAGGCUUCAUAUGUUUUUCACGGGCCGGGCCUGGGCAAAAUCUCAGGCCCGUAUUUCGGGCCGGGCCUGGGGGACUAAGAAAUGGGCUGAAAUUUUUAUGGGCCUGGCCCAAAAUUGGCCCGGCUCAUGAGCACCUCUAGCCUAGAGUGGAGGCUGUUGUGUUGACGUGGUGGCGCACGUGGCUGCUGUGCGAGGGAGGAGCAGCGCGUGAACAGCUUGCUGGGGCAUGCGGCGGCUGAGUCAUUAGCUGGCUAAGGUUUUCUAAUUUUUUAAUUUUGUUUUGGGCUGAUUCAGGGAUUGGGUUUAGUAUUUUGGAUUGGGCCUUUAGAUUUUAUUUUUUUGGUUUUGUAAUCUCGACUGUUUAAUUGGACAUUUUAUUGUUUAUUGGUUUUGUUUAUUUAUACACGGGGCCCGGGCAAAUAUUGAGCUAUUAAAGGUACAUAAUAACGAAUAAAUGGCAUUCAAUUUAAACAUUUACAAUGAUUAAUCUUCAAUCGAAAAAUCACUAUCUUCAAUUCAAAAAUCACUAUCUUCAAUUGUCCGCCUAUAUAUAUCACUACCAAUUGGCCAUGCAGUUUCUUGAGCUGUAACAGAAUCUUCCACUAUAAUUUCAUCAACUGAUUGGCUUGCCUGCAAAGCAAAUUAAACCUUCACUCGUUACUGUUUGCUUUUGAUGAUUGAUGAUGAAGAAAGCAAAGCUUGUUUUCCAAAAUUGGACAAAGGAUGACAUAUUAAGAACAAGAACUGUGAAUUGAAAAUAAUAAUGCAACAAGGAUAUUUAGAAAGAAUAUUGACAGCGGCAGAAACCAUAUGCAGUUGAUGCAAUUUCAUUUAGUCAUUUAAAGCAUUAAAAAAAAGAAUUUAUCUCAGACAACCAAAAUAAAAAUAGGGAGAAUACAUAAAGAAAAUAAUUGAAUGGAUGAAUUUCUGUUUUAAAGCUUAUUGUUGAGUUUGGAAGAGUGGUGUACCUGUGUUUUGGCAUGCACUGAUUUCUCUGAAUCAACACUAAAUCUUGUGGUUAUGUUGGGACAACCUUUUACUCGUAAAUCCGUCAAAGAUGGGAAAAUAAAAUGAUAACCUACAGGGCUGAAGCUCACGAGGUUUGGUAGCUCAAUAAGCUCUAAGGAGCAAAGCUGAGGUAGGCGUAUCACUUUCUCUUCUUCCUUAUUCAGAUUUGACUCAUCUCCUUCAAACACCUGCUCUAAUUUGGAGACCCAUUCAAGGCAUAAUCUCAAUAGGUUUGGAAGGCCGCCAUGAGCAAGAGUAAUGGGGAAGAGACAUUUCAAGUUUUCACAAUUCCUUAUUGAAAUAUAACUCAAAUUAGGGAAGCAAAUGGGUUGGAGAUGAUGUUGUGAUGAAGUUUGAUCCUUCUCAAUCAUUUGCUCCAAUUCCUCACAGUUAGAUAUAACCAAAGUCCACAAUUGUGGCAAAUUUCGAGCGAUGGUAGGUGAGAAGAUGUAUCUUAACCUUCUGCAAUCUUGGACUGUCAAUUGAGCGAGAUUUUGAAAGUGUUCAACUUGGAUGGGACCACUCCAAAUCACCCGCAAUUCAGUCAGUUUGUACAACCGUAGGAAGUAUAGAGUUGAAAGAUUAUAUCCAGAAUAUUCAAAUAACUCUUCAAAAUUAGAAAUUGUUAAAUAUUCCGUACAUGUUGAUGUUUCUCCUCUUCUUUCAGGGACUGUCACGUUGCUUAUUUGCUUCUUUUCUGUCAUCUCCGAUAACUCCAAUUUCUAUAAACAUAUCAUCAAUUUAAGAAUAAGCACAAGAUUUCCUUUUCAAUCUUUUAUAGUCAAAGAAUUCAAAUUUUUAAAAAGUUUACUGCUCAACUCAUAUAAUCAUAAAUUACCCAAAAAAAAAAUCUCCAAAAAUAUGGUGCAAAGACACAACAGAAAUAAUAUUACGUAGUACUAGAUAGUGUUUGCAAUAUAUAUAUAAGAAACUAAAAUGUCUUAACAAUUAUAAAAGUAUUCAGUUGAAAUGUUAUUUAUGUUACUAAUUGGUAUUGUAAUUAACUAAACUACUUAAAGGUUUAUUUAGAUUAGUUUUUAGACUAAAAUGAAAACUAUUUUUUAAAGAUUUAUACAUGCAUUUACUUAUUUUAGACCACAAAAAACAAAAAAAUCAAAAGGUGAAAAUUUUAAUAAAUAAUAUAUAUAAGAAGGUCUUACUUGUAUAUUAGUUGGAACGAUAAAAGGUGUCAAUUGAGGACAAUCUCUCACUUUUAACACGCGUAAAGAUGGCGAUGUUAGCACGAUGUUGUUUCUAUCCCUUCCUUUCAAUUGAGGCAAAUUAAUCAACUCAACUUCAUUCAAUCUUGCAAGACCUUGAGACAUUGAGAUUAACACUUCUGGUCCUUGGAUUAUUUCUUGCAAUUGGAAACAGUUCUUUAUCCUCAGAGUUUGCAAUUGCCCAAGACUAUUAGCAACACACAUUGGCAAGAGAAAUUUCAACUUAUUACAUUCUGUGACUUGUACUUCCCUUAGGCAUUGGAAGCUUAUGGUUGAUGAUACUUGUGAGUCUUGAAUUAUUUCUUUCAUUCCAAAGCAUCUCUCUAUCUUUAGGGUUUGCAAUUUCCCAAGACUAUUAGCAAUACACAUUGGGAAGAGAAAUUUCAAAUCAUUACUUUCUGUGACUUGUAUUUCCCUCAGGCAUUGAAAGCUUAUGGUUGAUACUCGUGAGUCUUGGAUUAUUUCUUCCAUUACAAAGCACCUCUCUAUCUUCAGAGUUUGCAAAUUGGGCACAUUUAGUUUUUUAGAGCUACCUUUAUCAACAAUAAUUGGAAAGAGAGAUUUCAAGCUUUCACAUUCCAAGAUAUCAAUUAGAAUCAGAUUUGGAAAGCAAAUAGGUAAGGUAUGCUGUUGUGAUGACGUUUGAUCUUGCUCCAAUUCCUCAUAUUUACAUAAAUGCAAAUUGCUCAAUUGUUCAUUUGUCAUCUUCCCAAACACCAAUUCCUAUAAACAUAUCAUCAAUUCUCAAUUUCAAACUGUUCAAAGAUGUCAACAAUUAACUUAACAUUUCAUCAAUUAAUUUCCUUACAAAAAAUUUAUUUUACCUUAAAUCAAUAUUAUACUCCAAAACUGUGGUACAAAAACAGUCAUAAAUAAUAUCACAUAAUCUGUACAUAUAAAUUAUUGGGAAUUACUUAAACUCAUUUUCAUUUAUUAACACAAAAAUAAAAAACCAACUGCGUAAAAGGCUACAUUUAAAAAAAAUUAAAUAUAUAUUUUUUUAGUUUAUUUUUAAUACAAAUUCUAAAAUCAUCCAAUAAUUCCUUCUCACAUUAAAAAAAAAAAGAUAAAAGUGAUUCAGGGCACUUGAACCAACAUUCUCUUAUUUAGACAACAAUAUCGAUACCAACCAAACUAAAACUUAUAUAUAAUUUUAUAUAGCUUAUUUUUGUUUACCCACAUAAUAGGUAUAAUAUAAUUUAGUAUUAGAUAAAUAGUUUGCAACAUAUCUAAAACAUAAAGUUUGGAUUUUUUUUUUGAAUCUUUUAUUAAUCUUAUUAUAUGGUAUUAUAAUCAACUAAUUUGUUUAAAAGGUUAUUUAGAUUAGUUUUAGACCAAAAUUAUAAAAUAAACAACAAUUCAAACAACGAACUAUAAAGAAAAAAAAAGAAACAAAUAAAUAAAUAAUAUAAAACAAAAAGAAAAAUCUUACUUGUAUCGUAGUCGAAAUAAAAAAAUGUGUCAAUUGAGGACAGUUGUGCACUUUUAACUUUUGCAAAGACGAUUGUGUGAGCAUAAUGUCGUUCACAUCCCUUCCUUUCAAUUGAGGCAAAUCAAUCAACGAAACCUAAAAUGAAAAGCAUAAUCAAAUUUCUCAAUCUUUGACCAUAGGACAAUAAGGAAAAGAAAUGUCAAGUUAUUGCAAUGAGAUACACAUACUUCCCUUAGACUUUGGAGUAGACAUACGUAUGCCACUUGUGGAUCUUGGAUUAUGUCUUCCAAUUGCAAGCAACUCUUUAUCUUCAAAGUAUGCAAUUGGCCAAGGCUAUUAGCAACUGACAUUGGGAAGAUAUAUUUCAAAUUAUUGCAUCCCUCUAUUUCAACAAUCUUCAGACUUUGGAGGCUUAAAUGACGACCGGGCCCUUCUUGUUCUAUGCUCCUUAAUUCAGCAAUCGGGAAUAACACUUUCAUACUAUGGCAACUUUCAACUUUAAACUCUUCAAGCUUUUGUAAAAACCCUUGCGGUUGGGGACCAUUGCACAACUCUUCCAAAAAGGAUAAAUCAUUUAAUGAUAACUUUCUCAAAUUAGAGAGUGUAGUGAUUGGCACUUGCUGCUUUGAUGCAUCAAUUAGGCAUUGCAUAGAGUCGCAACAACGAAGAUCUAGAGAAGUCAACUUACUAAAUCCCAAGUCCAAGCUUGGAACAAGGUUUCGGUGACCCUCCACAUGAUUCAAUUGAAGAGAUUCUACAUCUUCAAAUAGUUGCUUGCAUGCAUCUACAGAGUUAUCGAUUCUCAAAGAUCUUGAGAUUGGAUAAGUUUCCCUCUUUUGAAACCACAUAUCCCUCUUUUGGUACCACAUUUUUCUUUCUAUGCCAAUGCAAAAAUCAAAGCUCCAUAAUCUUCGAAACACAAAGCCAUCUGGAAGAUGUUCAGAAGAAAUAUCCAAUGAUAUUACAACCAACUUUGGCAAUGAAUUCAACUCUGAUAGGCUGGAAUAGCUUUCCCUUUUAGUUGAAUUAUCAGUCGCCCAUUUUAAUGAACUACAACCAUGCAAGUAUAGUUCUUCUAAAUUGGGCAAUCUUCGUAUUAAAUUAGGAGGGAUACUUCGUAGUUUAUAGCAAUACGAUAAAACCAACAGUCUUAGAUUUUCUAGAUCACCAGCUUCAGUCGGCAAUUCAAUGAUAUCAGAUCCACUUAAAGAGAGAAUAUGAAGUGACUUCAGCUUCCCAAGCAUCGAGAUGUCAGAGAGUUGACAAUCAAUCAAACACAAAGUUCGAAGGUUCAUAUGAAACUUAAAUGCAGCUAGAGAUAUCAAUUGAUCUUUCAAAGCACAAACUUGUAAUGCCUUCAUACCCUCAAAGAAUUCGCUUGAAGUUUCCAUUAAACGAUUGCCACCAAGUAAAAGAAGUUUGAGGUAUGGAAAAACCACUCCUUUAGGAAGUUCAUCCGUUUGACCAGUUUCAAAGGAGAUUGCCCUGUAAUGCUUGGAACUUUCAUCCAUCGGGAGUGUUUCAACAGUCCCAAAAGAAAUCUCCUUUCUUGAAGAUGCUAUCCACAAAGCAAAUUGGCGAACCACGUCAUGCAUUUUGACAUGCCUUUCUCCGCAAUCUAGCAACAAACCGGAGUUCUUGAGGGUCUCAAUUGAUGCAAGCACUUCACUGCUAACAUCUUUAAUUGAGUCCAUGCCUUUAUACAACUCCAGUCCCCAUGCAUAUCCUACCAAGUUCUCCACAUAAAUCUCAUCAUCUUCAGGAAAUAAAGAGCACAACAAGAAACAUGUCUUGGUCUCCAUAGUCUUCAAGUAGUCGAAGCUCGCCUCAAGACAUACAUAGGCAUUUUCUUCAUUAACAUCCUCAAUUUCAGUCAACCUACGAUCUUUGAGUCUCCGGUAUGCAGCUUGCCACUCGUGAUGGGUUUUACCUUUCAAGGCACUUCCCAGAGGAACUAUAGCUAUAGGCAAACCCUUGCAUUUUUUGACAAUUUGAUUUGCUAGGAUUUUAAUAGAAUCAUCAGAAAAGUCAUCUAGACCUGCUUUCUUUUCAAACAGAGUCCAAGCUUCAUCAUCAUCCAAACAGUCAAGUUGUACCACGUUUUGACAAUCCAUAGCUCGACAUACUUGUUGACGGCGUGUUGUUAAAAGAACUUUGCAGCCUUUAUGAUCAUCCCCAAUUGGAAUUCCUAUCUUCUCCUUUAAGUUGAUAGAUUCCCAAAUAUCAUCAAGGAUGAUAAGAAUCCUCGGUUCAUUCUUCAGCCUUAACCAUAAUUCUUGCUCGGAUCUUCUUCCUUGUUCAUUCUUCAUAGCAAAGCCUAUGUAUUGUGCAAUUUGAUCUUGAAUUCUCUCAAGAUUUGGCUUUUGAGACACAGUCGUAAUCACAACUUUGUCAAACAAGUUCAGUUUUUGAGCUUGACUUCCAACUUCACGAGCCAGGGUGGUCUUGCCCACCCCUCCCAUCCCCCACAACCCAAUCAUGUUGAUAUUCUCAUCUUUUAAGGCUUCAAUGAUUUGAUAGAAUGCAGUCUCUGAAGAUUUCGAAAACACAAAUUCUUUAGAACAUAGGAAAUCUAUAGUGGGAAGGGCAGUAGGAGCAGGGUAACCGACUGGUCCAAGUUGACCAAAUUUGUCCAAAAGCUCAGAGAUAUCCUGGAUUUUCUUCAUUGCUUUCUUGCUUAAUUGAUAUCGCCAACUCCAAUUAGGACACCAAUUGAGACACCUCUUAUUCAGUUGGAUUUCCUCCUCCAGAGUUCCCAUAUCAGACAGUGUUUCGUCUGCCCUUGAUUGCAAGUUCUGUACAUCAUCUUCAAUUAGUAGAAGCCGGUUUUUAGCUUCCUCAAUCUUAAGUAGUAGACGCUUUCGUGCAUCUGCAAGUUCACGCUUUUUCUCUCGGAGCUUUUCAACAUUGUCAUGAAAGCGACGGACAUAAUCAAGUUGACGUCCUACCGGCUUCACCACACAGUCUACAACCAGUGUUCCAACUGUGUUAGAAAGAGCAGCCUCACAAAAUCCGCAACCCAUGCUUGACAAGCUCAAAUUGAAGAAUAUGAUGUUCCAAGUUCAAACACUGCAGUGAAUCAUAAGUAAUUAUCUUAAAAAAAUAAAAUUUAAAGAAUCAAAAAGUGUUUUGAAGAUUAAGACACUACUUCUCAUACAUACCAAGGAUGGUGAAAGACAACUCAACCUAUGAGAAUCAAUGUGCUGUUCUUUCAACUGAGUCCAGCUGAAAAUACAACGAGAAAUUUAAUAAACAAAUCACAUCAUAUACGAGUGUAAUGUCAUAUAAUUAUAACUAAAAAAGACAGUUAAUUACUCAUAAAAAUAAAAAUUCAAAAUCCAAACAGUCUUUUAUAAUAUUAUAGAUAUAAUGCUGGAAAAUAUAAUAAACAUAUCCACUUACCAUUUCAAAAUCCAAACAGUCUUUUAUCUCUUACUUGCUUCAAGAAAAACAUAAAAAGAUGAGAUGAGAUCAAAGAAAUAUAGAACAACUUCAAUUUAUAUAAAAAAAAAAACAGAAAUGAAGCAUAUAUAAAUAGAUUUACCUCACUUGGGAACUUUUAAAAUCAAACUACACUUAGUGCUCAGAAGGUUCUUACUUCAAAACAAUCAAAAGGGCGAGGGAUUUCAAGGUUGUUUUUUUUUUUUAGCAAAAGUAAGUAAAAUUGAAUACAGAAAGAAAGGAACUUGAAGAAAGGGGGGGGGGGGAAAGAAUAUAAAAAGAUCAGAUGAGAUCAAAAAAAUAUAUAACAAAUUUAAUUUAUAUAUAACACUUAGUGUUGAGAAGAUUCUUACUACUUCAAUACAAUCAAAAGGGAUUUGAAGGUUGGGUUUUUUUUUUUUUUUUUGAGCAAAGGUAAGUAAAACUGAAUACAAAAAGAAAGGAACUUGAAGGAAGGGAAAUAAAAAGAAAAAACAACAAAGUAGAAAUCAAGGUUGAACUGAAAAAAGGAGAAACUUUCAGAAAGAAAUUGAAGUUGAUCUGCCUCGAAAAGUCAACAACUCGGAAAGCAUAAACUCUAACACAACUAGGUUUUGUUGGUUUAGUAGCCAAAGGAUUGGAUCUAAAUUAUGAGGAUUUGUUUUUCUCAAUUGUAUUUUAGUGGAUUGAAAAGGAAAGAGGAAUCUUCCUUUGCAACAAGUUGGUACUGAUUGGUUUGCCAAUGACGCCCACAUGACAUGAAAUGGUAGAGGACGACUUGGAAGAAAGUGAAAGUCUUUGUGUUAAUUAUUUAUAUGAUUUUCAAUACAUUUAAAAUAUCUACCUUUCUUCAGUUUCUUUUUCUUAAUUUCCAUUUGUUAUUAGAAAUGAAAAUGGUUUUUCUUUAUUCAUUUUUAUACUUAAUAUUUUGUAUAUUUUUUACCUAAAUAAGAAGAAUCUCAAAUUUUGAAGAUGUAUAUUCAUAAUCUAUUCGCUCCUCCAUCACCCUUGAUCGAACCCUACUUGAGAGAUGUUAAUUUUUGCAUAUGGCCUUUGUAGGUAAAGGGUGUAAGUUGGACUCGACACUCGUAAACGCGUUAGUGGAAAAAUGGAGACUUGAGACGCACACAUUUCAUCUUCUGUGAGGCAUGUGUACAAUCACUUUAGAGGAAGUGCAACUAUAGCGUAGGUUAUCGGUGGAUGGACUGAAAGUGACUAGGUCAGUUCAAGCAGUCGAUUAGGGAGACGUAUGCAAUGAACUUUUAAGGAGGGUUCUAAAAAUCAUUUUUGGAGCCUAGAUAGAUAUGAGUUGGUUAAGAAGAAAUUUUGGUGGGCUUAAUGAAGAUUCAGCUGAAGUCUAAAAGAACAACACGCUUGGGUUGUAACACCCUAAAACUUGGCCUAGAAGUUAUGACUAAAUAUUCAAGGAUUAAAUCAACUCGUUCAAAGCUUCAGUUCAAAUCAAACUCAAUGCAUGCUUUGAAAACAUAAAAUUUUGGCAAAACACCCAUAGAUGGUUAGAAAAGCCGAGUUCGAAAACACUUAUUUAAAACCCAUAAUUCACAUUCAAAAUUGCGCGUUUUAAAACUACUAAUGUGAGCAAAUCAUUUCCAGUAUUAAAACAACCAUUUGUUACAAACCAUAUAUUUUAUUUUCAAAAAAUACUUAAAUGAUUACUUAACCUUGUAGCAAAAAUUUUUCAAAGUUUGUUUUAGUUUGAAAACUGAAAUCUAACUUGUCAGCUCGUGUGAUUUGUAGUUUAAUGCUCAAAAAUAUUAAAUGCCGACGAAUAAAACAAAAACCAAAACUAGGACCAAAAACACAUUACAGUCCAAGAAUAAUUAAAUUGUAAACCCAAAAAUAUUUUAUCUGGUAACCAAUCUGAGCUCCUGUAAGUUGUCCGGUCCUAAGUCAGAAGUUAACCUAAAAUGUAUUGAACAAACAAAUAAGCUAGGAGCCUAGUGUGUGUCUCAACCCACAAGCAUAAUUUUUAUUUAACUAGCACAUACGUAAAUGUGAUCACAAAAUUUUACUUUAAUGUAUCAAUAACAUAUCAGAAUGUUGUAUUACCAGAAACAUAUAUAUUUUAGAUCAUAAUAUCAUAUAACCGGAACAUAUUUUGGUUUGGAAUAUCAUAAUUUCAUAGAAAAAUAUAUCAUACUAGAAUGUCAUGUUUUCAGAAGUGCAUAUGUCAUACCAGACUAGAACAAAUGCAUACACAAAUCCUACCUUCAUCUGCUACACACCAACUCUGUCCAACGAAUGACACCAAUUAGGACUUCAAGAGUCCAUCCAUCCAAAUCACACCGGAUCGUGGUGGUAUGCCACUAUAAUAGAGCAACUCAGUUGCCAAACAUAUAGAGUGGUUUAACCGCUGAAAAUGCAAUAAUGCUAUUAAAAAACACUUCCUCCAACAAAACAGAACCACCCCAAUGCAUAUGCUAAAUCACGUUGACAUACAUACCACAUAGUUUUUAUGCACGUACAUAAACAGAUAUCAUACGGAAUGUAAUGUAACACCCCUAACCCGUAUCCAUCGCCAGAAUAGGGUUAUAGAGCACUACCAGAGUUUACUAAUUAAUUUUUGAACUUUUAAUUUCAUCAAGCAUUCAUAUUUAUAACCAAUUAAAAUCAAAACAUUAAUAAGCUAACGUUAACCAAUUUAACUUGUACAUGCCAUUAUAACCAAAAUCAAAUCAUCCAAAAAUUAUCGAUAGAACCAAUGGAUAAUGUGAUAUAUCUCCAACAAGCUUCCAACUCAAUCGAGCUUCCGAUAAUCAUUUCAAUGCAUCAAAUAAUUAUACAUAUUACCAAUAAUAAUUCAAUUCCAAUAAUGAAACACACAUAUAUAUAAUAUUCAUUACCAAAUAGAAUUCACUUCAAUUAAAAUUAUACAGAUAUAGUUCAUACGAACUUACCAGGCUAAAUUGCAGAAAUAACAAAAUUCAGAGACAUUUUAAAAAUUUUCUAUUUUUCUCAAAUUUCCACCCAAUCUUGAUCUAAAUUAAUAUUUCAUUCAAUUUAAUAAUUUAAAUAAUAAAACAAUUCAUUUCAUGCAAUUUGGUCACUUUUUGACAUUUUUACAAAUUUACCCUUAAAGUUUUACUUUUAUUCAAUUUAGUCCAUGAGCCUAAAACGUGCAAAUUAUCCAUGCUAGCUGAAUAUUCAUAUAUAUAUAUUCCUCCUCCUCUCCUUUCCACAUCCUUAAUUUAUAUAAUAUGCUUAUAAGUAACAUUAUCUAUGAAUUCACUAUUUACUUUAAAUAUAUUCAAAACUGUCCAUUUGAGUCAUAGCCACUAAAUUAAUUUUAUAUUGAGCUACAAAACUCUAAAUUAGGAUCAGCUAAUUUUCCCUGAAACUAGAUUCACAUAUCUUCUUACCAUAAAAUUUUCAGAAUUUUUGGUUUAGCCAAUAAGUACAGUUUAUUCUUUAAAGUCACCUCUGUUCUGCUGUCUGACAGUUCUGACCCUUCUUCACUAAAACUUAAUUAUCUCCUUGUACAGAAUUUGGAUGAUAUCUCUGUUUGUUUCUAUUUAAAAUAAAUUCUUUAAGGCUUUUAAACAUAUAAAUUCUAACCCAUAAUUAUUUGUGUACAUUUUUUUAUGAUUUUCCAAAUCCAGAACAAGGGAACCCGAAAUCAUUCUGACAUUGUCUCACAAAAUCUAUUAUAUCUCAUGAUUUACAAUUUCAUUACUUACACCAUUUCUUCUAUAAAAAACUAGACUCAUUAAGCUUUAAUUACAUAUUUUUUUCAUCCUUUUAUUUCAUUUUCACAAUUUAUGAUGAUUUUUCAAAUUUAACCUACUGCUGCUAUCCAAAUCUGUUUUAGUUCAAGAUGUUGAUUACUAAGUUUAUAACUUCCUUAUUCCCUUUCUCUAUAAUAUUUCUCAUCACUUUCACUUAUUUCUCUUCACUAAUAUAUCAAGAACAUAAGAAUUUAUAUAAGAAAACUCCACUAUAACAUCUUUUCCAUGCUAUUUCAAUAAUAUCAAACUUAAAAAUAUAUUGAAAUCUCAAUGUUCUUACCUUGCCCUAUUGAUUUCAACCUUUAACUUGAUUUUCUCUCUCCUCCAACUUUAAUUUCUUGAAUCCAACUUGAUAUUCUAGCUCCCCAUAGUCUCCUUGCUAUCUUUCUCUCUUGAUGACUAUGGAGAUUCUUUUGAUUUCUAAGUGAAAAUGGUGAAUUUUUUUGGUGGAAGGACCAAAUUGUAAAGAAAGCAAAAAUUUCUUUCUUCUCUUCUCUUCUAACGUGAAUUGCAUGGAAAAGAUGGUGGCUGGGUUGCUUUUCAUCUUUCUUUCCACAUAUAUAUACUAAAUAAUAAAAUAAUAAAAUAUCAUUUAAAAAAUCAAAUUAAAAUAUUAAUAAACUAUUAUUUAUUUAUUUAUUUAAUCUAAAAUAUCUCCAACAUCAUCAUUAUCUUCUAGAUUUCUAUCUCUUCUAAAUGACCAUUUUGCCCUUUAUGAUCUUUUAAAAAUCCAUCCUUGAGUCAUUAUUUAAUUUGGGAAAAUUACGAUUUAGUCCCUCAUAAUUCUUCACCUAUUCGAUUUGGUCCUAAUUCAUCCAUUUUCCUUAGUUUUUAGAUUAUUCCACCCUUAAAAUAUUUGUACUAUUGGUCCUUCAACUUUUUUAUUUACACUUUAACCCCUCAAAUUUUGAGUAUUUACCCUUGGGCAACAAAACUUUUCUCACUUUUGCAAUUUAAUCAUUUCUUGAACUAAUAUGUCAUAAUAUACUUCUCAAUGUUGACAUAACUCAAAAUUAUCCUUUUUAUCACUUUAUUUCCUUAUUUUACUAUAUCAGGAAUAUUAUCUUACUUUUUUUUACUGUAGUAAUUUUCGAGGUAUUACAUGUAACUUACACAUAAUUUAUAUAGAUCAUAGCAUAUCAUAUUCAUGGUCGAAUCAGAUAACUUAUCAGAACGGAUAACAAAAUAUGUAUAACACACAUGAUUUACAAAAUAGUUAUGCUUAACUCACGUACCUACUUAUAGCAAAUAAUAUCACAUUAUUAUAUUUAUCAAAAUUUAUUUAACAUGCUUCCUACACUUACCCAUGUUUGUUUUCCUUAAAUUUAUGCUUUCUAGGCCUACAUAAUGCACCCAAACCCAAAUUCUGAGUCCUUUAGUCGACCCCUAAUUGGCCCAAAAGACCCACUCAACCCAAAAAGCUAGCCUGCGUGGUCCACAUAGUCUAUCCAUACGAUUUGCAUGAUCUUACACAGCAGUGUGGGAACAUAGCCUACAUGACAAGCCACAUGGGUUGUAAAAACACACAUCGUCGUGUGCCCCACACAGGCUACAAAAUCACACACGGUUGUGUUCCCCUCAUGGUCUACCACACGGUUAUGUGUCACUGGACAACUUUGUUUUGCAUAAUUUCUAAAUUUUUGAUGAGUUUUUCGAGUUAGAUCACACGUCAGAUUGCUGAUUUUGAUGUAGAUUCACGAAAGAACACACUAGAACCUAAAAUCAAUAUUCCAAACGUAUCAAAUUAGUAACAAAAUGCAACACUAAAUCAAGAUUGACUCACUAACAUAACACUAAAGACCUAGCACAAAGAAAACAACAACAAUAAUAUCUAAGUCGUCGAAGGAACGCCCAACACUUCUCGUUCUUCUCCUAAAAAUGCACCGAACUCAUUAAGCAUACAAAAUACACAUUAAUACCACACUACUAAAGCUCUGAAACCCUGAACGCCCAAUGAAGUAAUUUCAAUACAUGGCUGAAAAAAUGGAGGAUGAAGCAACCUUACCAUUAAUGACUAAAACUGAUAGCACAAAGGACAAAUGAUACACAAAUUAACAAAAGAAUAAAAAACAAGAAGAGAGAAAAAAAAACAUGAAAAACUGAAAAACCAACCAUAAAGAAAGAAACUAACGAGAAAGUGAAGAGGGAGGGAGAGAGUGAGAGGAUGGUAUCUCUGUGGCAGAAAGUUCUACGGUUUGGACAUAAGGGCAAGUUGGUAAUGAAGAAUGCUUAAGAAAUGAGAUUCAAUUGAAUUUAACAAUGAAGAAUGCUUUUAAUGUGCCUAACAUUAGACCAAGACAAAUAAUUAUAAGUUUUGUCAAAAUCUUAGUUUUCUUUUUUAAUCUUUGAUUAAUGAGCUGAAUUCACAUACUUUGUUUUUUUUCUUAUAGCUUAAUAAAUCUUUCUUCGCUCAUAAGAACAAAAAAAGUAAGUGGUACAUAAUAACGAAUAAAUGGCAUGUAGUUUUCCAAAUUAACUCCUUAAAUAGAAAUAACUUCAUUUACUGUUCCAUUCAUUUUAAAAUUCCUCUUUGACCCACCAUUUUAUAUCACUACCAAUUGACCAUGCAAUUUCUUGAGUUGUAGCAGAUUCUUCCACUAUAACCGAUUUUGUUGCUUGUUGUCUGACGUGCCAGCAAGUUAAGAUUCCCUUUGUACUGAUGGGCUUCGUUAGUGGGUUGCCUUCAACACCUACUAAAAACGAUUCUGUAUGGGUCAUCGUGGAUCGGUUGACCAAGUCUGCCCAUUUUAUUCUAGUUUGGACAGAUUAUUCUUUGCAGAAGUUAGCUAAGCUCUAUAUUUCUAAGAUUGUGAGACUUCAUGGAGUUCUGAUUUUGAUAAUUUCAGAUAGAGAUCCUCAAUUCACGUCUCGAUUUUGAAAAAAAACUUUAUGAGGCUUUGGGAUCGAGAUUGAACUUCAGUACUGCAUUCUAUCCUUAGGCCGAUGAUCAACCUGAGAGGGUGAUUCAGAUACUGGAGGGUAUGCUUUGAAGUUGUGUAAUUGAUUUUCGAGGUAGUUGAGAGGAUUUCCUACCUUUGCCUGAGUUCGCCUAUAACAAUAGUUUUCAGUCUAGUUGUAACACCCUCUAACCCUAAACAGUCGUCGAAACAAGAUUACAAGGCAUUACUGGACCUAUCAGACGAUCUACAAAUAAUUCCUAAAUAAAUAUAAAAUAUAUUAUAAUAUAAUCAUAAAUUCAUAUAAAGUUUUACUAAUUGACUUCAUUCAUUUUUCAUUUUUAAAAAAAAUUCAAUAUAACCCAUUUAUAAAUAUUUAACCUUCCUUGCUAAUUUCAAAUCCCAACCAAACCAAUUCCAGUAUUUCAACCAAUGCAUUUAUAUACUCAAAUAUACUUAAAUAAUACUUGAGAUAUUUGACUUAACAACUUAAUUAAUGAAAACCCUAUUAUCGUUUCUAAUUAGCUCAUAAAACUAUUCAAACCAUUUCAAUUCAAUACUAAUGUCAUAAACAAUUUCUACCAUCUCACUAAUUUAAUCAUCAAAACACCAAAUAUCUUUCUUUACAACAAAAUCAUAUAACAUACCAAAAUAACCAUUAUAAUCCCUAUGUACAUGUCACUUUCAUUUAAAGGAAGAAAACAUCACUAAAAUCUUUAUGCUGGAGUCGGGAUCAUUUGGAUGCUGGACUGGGGCACUAUACUCCUAUCAACCUGCAGACAUAAACAACCGUAUGCUGAGUAUUCCAUACUCAGUGGUAUUAUAAUAAUAAUAAUAAUAAUAAUAAUAAUAAUAAUAAUAAUAAUAAAAUAUAAUUAUCAAGCAUUUAACUAUCUAAUUUUUCAAAUAUCAAUUCAUUCUUAAACUUUCAUUAAUUACCAAUAACAGUACAAUUUUUAGCUAUUCUUCAAUUUCAACCACAUUUCACAUAUAAUAUUUUCAAUCACUACAUGAACAUUAAGUUCAUGCCUUUCAUUUUCAAUCUCAGUUUCAAUCCAUAAUUUUAAAUUUUCUCAUAUUCAAUACUACAAUUGAUCAAAUUCAUUUGAUUUUCUCAUUUUAAUUUUUCACCCUAUUAACAAUCCGGACUUUGACGGAUACAAGGAUUCCAACCCAAACACACCAGUAUGGCACAUUGGGCCUAAAACGAUACAUAGUAUCUGAUCAGUAUACAACACAUAAGCAAAUAAAAUGACACACGAGGUGCUUAAAAUGCGACACAUAAAGUGUCUGAUAUACUACAUAUAAAGUGUCUGAUCGGCAAAGUCGAUAAAUCCCGUACUCUUCCAAAUCCUAUGGCAUGCCAACUAUAUCCAACUUAGCCCAACUAGUUCAUAGGGUAUUCCGUAUUACUUUCGAAUUUCAAUUUCAUUCUCAAUUUAAUUACAACUCAAUUCAAUAUACUUUUCCAUUUCAAUCCACAUACAAUUCAAUUUCAAUUCAUAUUCAUUGUUCAACUCAAUUUUCAUUUAAUUCAACAAAAACACUUACCUUAUAAUUUACUUACCAUAUACAUAAAUUAAUUUAACAUUUAAUGAAUAAAUAAAUAAUUUGAAUUAUAGUAAUACAAACCUGAAUUUCGUAGUUACUCCUCGAUGACUUUUUCCUUUCCUUUCGGUACUGAUGCCCCGUGUUCUUUACUAGCUUUUAAAGCUUUAAAACCUUAAACCCUAGUUUUUCCUUUUCUUUUCUUUUUCUCCUUUCCCUUGCUCUGUUUCGAAAUGGUUCUGCUAUUCUUUUUUUCCUUUUCAUUUCUUUCAUUUCUUUUAUAUAUAUAUACUAAUUAAUAAUAAUAAAUAUCUAAUUUUUAACUAAUACAUAUAUUACAAAUGUAUACAUAUAUUCUUUUACACUUGUACUUGAUCUAUACCCUACACUUGUCACAAAUUAAUUUAUUAAUCACAUAAAAAUAUUAUAAUUUAAUUAUUUAUCUAAUAAAUAUCUUUUAAAUAAUAAAUAUCUACUUAAUAUACAAAUAUAAAUAUUACAACAGUAUAUAUUUAUCUUUUUAUACAUGUACUAUUUAAUCAUCAUACAUUUGGGAUAAAUAUAAUAUAAAUAUAAUAUAUAUUUAUCUUUUUACUUAAAUUUUAAGUAAAUAAAUAAUUUAAUACAAGUGUAUAUAUAUUCACAUAUUACACACGUACCACUUAUCACCCUACAUUUGUCAUGUCUUAAUUUAUUUAUUUCAUAAUAUAAUAAUUAAUAUAAUUUAUAAUUUAAUAUAAAACAUUAAUAAUAGUUAAUAUUAAGAUUUUUAAAAAAAUCAUAUAAAAAUCUUAGAUUUUAACGGCUUAUGCCACCACCUCACUUAUGUUAAUUGGCAUAAUUGCCAUUUUGACCUCUUUCUAUUUUUUAAUCUAAUAUUAAACUUUUACCCUUUAUUCAAUUUAAUCCUUUUUCGCAAUUACUCUUAAUUAAGCUAAAUUCACCUAAUUAAAAUUUAAUUAGACACACUACUAGACUCAUAAAUAUUUUUAAUAAUUAUUUUUGAACUCGAUUUACUAAGAUGGAUGCCCAAUAGUACACUUUUUCGAUGCCCGUGAAUUUUGGGUCAUUACACUAGCAUCCAGAUGGCACCUUACAAAGCUCUGUAUAGUUGUAAGUGUCGUACCCCACUAUGUUGGACUGAGUUGGGGGAGCGACGGGUUUUGGGUCCUGAGUUGGUUUCCAAGAUUGAGGGCAAGGUCAAAUUAAUUCAGGAUCGUCUUAAGGCAGCUUUUGAUAGACAGAAGUCAUAUGCAGAUUUGAAAAGGAGGGAUAUCGAUUACUCUGGGGGUGACUCUAUUUUCCGUAAGAUAUCUUUGUGGAAGAAAGUUCUGGGUUUGGACGUAAGGGCAAGUUGAGCACUAAGUUCAUUGGGCCAUAUCAGAUUCUAAAGCGUGUGAGACCGGUCGCUUAUCAGUUAGAGUUACCUCCAAAGUUAGACCGCAUUCAUAACGUAUUUCACGUCUCUAUGUUAAGGAGGUAUCGAUUUGACCCAUCUCAUGUUGUUUCUGUUGAGGAGAUCGAAGUUAGACCGAAUUUGACAUUUAAGGAUGAACCGAUUUAAAUUUUAGAUCGCCAUGUAAAUGCUUUGAGAAGGAAGUCUAUUCCAUUAGUUAAGGUUCUGUGGCAGAAUCAUGGCAUUAAGGAAGCCACGUGGGAACUUGAGGACUUGAUGCUUCAGUAAUAUCCUCAUUUGUUCGGAUCAGGUAAAUUUCGAGGCUAAAAUUUCUUUUAAGGGGUAGAGUUCUAAUGCCCUGACUAAUUUUACUUUAUUUAUGUGAAUUUUAUCAUAAAUGUGUAUCUAAUUCAGUGGCUAAGUGUUUUGGGUGUGUGUUUGAGGUCUUGGGUUUAAGCCCCACUUUUGGGAAAAUAAGUUAUUUUUUAUCCUAGCCUAUUCAUUGGCGAUUGGGUUUACGUCUUAUCUUCAGUAAACUCAUAUCAGAAUGAGCUUGUUGGUUCGAGUGGUAAGGAGUUAGCUUGCCUUGAGGUCUUGUGUUUGAGUUCUUGUGAGAAUUGGAGUGAUAAUUUUUGCUUCGGUUGUCAGAUAGAGAUUCGAUGAAAUUGAAACUUUAAGGUAGUUGGAUGUGGUUAGUUGGUAGGAUUCUAAGGGAUAAGGUAAUUAGUGGGGGAGUUAAGAUUUUAUGUUACCUUUGAUUUAGUUGUUAUUUAAUUUUAAUUUUUAAAUUUUAUUUUUGAUUUUCCUAAAACUCCUCCUCCUUCUCUCAUUUUUUUUCCUUUCCUUUCUUCUCUCUAUUUUUUUCUCUUUCAUUGAAAAAAAAUUCCUCCCUUUCCACUCUACAGUCUUUCGUUCCAACUAAACCAUGUGCCAUUGUUAUUUGACCGGUAUUGUAGUUUGUUUAUCACUCUCUUUUGUCUCAAAUUCUGAUUGUAAUUCUAUUUAGCAAGUUUGGGUAGGUGUAGUUAUUACUUUUGGUUGGUGUUUCUUUAUUGCUAGUGUUUUUGUUAAUGCCAUGUAGGGGAAGACCAAGGGGUUCGGGAUUGUCCGUCGGUGACUUAGUUGUACGUAACUACCAUCAUUCGAUUAAAGGUAAGGGUUUAGUUGAAUAAUGGGUUGAAUGGAUCGUUUUGGUUUCAAUUUUAGUAUCAAUUUAAUCGACUAAUUCAGUGAUUUAUUGGUUAAUUGUAGGUUCUGGUUAUCUCAUGGGAGCGUUCACAUCAAAUCCGAAUUAGAUGUGUAAUAAAAACACGAGAAAACGAGGUUCGACGAAAGUUAAAAAGCGGCCAAUCGACGCCAGAUGACGAAAGCGAUGUGGUAUUUCUAUAAAUCGAACAUAAAAAUAAAAUUACAACAAUUAUAUGCCAAUACUAUGCGAUAUUAUCACAUUCAUAGUUUGAUUCAUAUCAUACGUAAUUUAAUAUUAUUCCUUCAUUACAAAACCAUUCACUACUUUAAUUUCCAAAUCACAUUUCGUUAUAUAAUUCAUUCCAUUAUAUCGCAUUUGCUAUUUAAUAAAAUUUUCAUUUCAAAACUAUUAUCAUCUCAAGUCAUGAUUUCAGUUUUAUCAAUUACUUCCCCUAUUAACAUGACUCAAACUCGGAUAUGCGGAUCCAACCAACACAUCAAAGUUUGUCACCAAGUGCCUAAUAGAUAAACCAUAGAAAUUGAUUGCACCUUGCGCUAGCCAGUAAGAUAAAAAAAUAUAUGUGCCCAUCACUGGUCAGUAUAACUGACGAAUGGGGUGCCCAACACUCCCUGACACAUAGUUGUAAAACCUUAAACUCUUCCUAUCCUACCCAAACUGUUAAUAGGGUAAAAAUUUUCUCAAUUUAAUUUAUAACAAAUUACAUAAUCAUACAUCACCAAUUAUCAAUUCAAUCAUUCAUUUACCAACAUAACAAAACAUCUCAUUUCCAUAUAGAAUAUAAUCUCACAUGCAUCUCAUUCCGGAAUGUAAUCUCGCAUACAAUAUAUGCUAUUAUUAUAGCUAUACAAUUUAAUCAUUUAUCACCAAUAAUUAUUUGAUCAUAACAAUUCAAUUCGAAUUUAUCAUUUUGCAACAUUACUCUAGCAAUUAACUUACCUUAUAUACUUACCUAAUAAUACAAUGUGUAAUAGGAGUAAAUACAAAAGUUUAGAUGAUAAAAACACCAACAAUAGAUUUCAAGCUAUUCAACAUCGACUUUAUUUUUCCCUUUCUUACUCGAGGAUUCCGAAACGAUAUUAGCUACGGAAUAAAACAAACCACACAUCUCAUCAAUACACAAACAAUUUCACAUUUAAUUAUCAAAUUACGUAACUUUUGUACUUUAUUCAAUUUAGUCCCUAAAAUUGGGACUAGCCUAACUUUCACAUUAAACCCUAAAUUUUUAUACUAAUUUCACUACAAGCCUAAUUUAAUUCCCUAUUUCUCAAUGUCAUCCCCUAAUUUUGAGUUUUUUACAAUUUGGUCCAUAUUACUCAAAAUCAACCAUUAACUUCACAUUUAACCCAUUUUCACUUCUAACCUAAAAAUCUAUCAAAUUAGUCUCUAUGGCUUUAACUACUCAAUAAUCGUAACAUCUAAAAUCUUAAACAAUACUAAAAAAGAAGGCAUGGGUUGAAUGAAAAAAUAAGACAUCAGAAUUUCGAAAACAUAAAAAUUACAAGAAAAUAAAUUGAAGCUUGAAUGCUUAAACCUCUAAUGCCGAAUACUUCUUCUUCUCCCUUUAAUUUCGGCUUGCAUCAAGAAAGAAUGAAAAUGUUUUUAUUUUAUGUUCCACUAACUUGUUUUAAGUUAUUUUAUUAUAUUAUGUUUUAUGUUAUUAAUUUAUUUAUUUUAAGUAAAAAUUUACAACAUUUUUAACAUUUAAAACCAUGAUGCCAUCCACUUAUAAACCAUAGGUAUAAUUACCUUUUAAGUCCCCUUAAAUAAAUUCUAAUUAGAAUUCUUUAGUAACUCAUAUGUUUACCACUUACGCGAUUUAGUCCCUAUACUAAAAUUAAGCCUUAAUUCAAUUAAAUUUCUUAACCAAAAUUCAACUCGCUUCUAAUAAAACUCUAUAAAUAUUUAAUAAAAAUAUUUAUGAGUCUGGUUCAUGGAAACGGAGUCCCAAAACCUCACUUUUCGACACCAUUGACUUUUGAAUCAUUACAAGGAUGUUUUUCAAUUAAGCACUAACACAAAGAAAAUACUUGAACUGAUAGAAAACAAUACAUGCUCACAAGUGUAUACAAAAAGAUAAAGAAUUGAAGCACAGAGGUUGAAAAAAAGAGUUGUUGAUCUUUCUUGAUAACUCUUAAUCUUUUGUAAUCUUUUUGUUGUUGUUGAACAUUUGAAAGCUGGUAUUUAUAGUCCCAAAUUGAUUUCCACCCAUUUUGAUUGUUGUGGAAUUGAAUAGAAUCAUUGGGAUGUAAAAACCAAUGCAUUAAUGUCACCUACAACAACAAGUAUCGAUACCUUUGGAGGGCUAUCGAUACUUUGGGCAUUUAAUGCCUCAAUUUAGUGAUCAUUAAAGCCUGUAGUAUCGAUACAAUAGGGUAUGUAUUGAUACUUGCUAUGAGGUAUCGAUACUCGGAUAAUUUAUUGUUUUAAUUUUCAAAACAUUGAACCUUAAAACAGUAUCAUUACUAGGAGGAGGUAUCAAAAUAUUUGGUAAGGUAUAGAUACUUUGUAUUUGUCCUCAAUAUUUUUUUAGAAACAGAAGCUCAAUUUGGUAUCGAUACUAUGAAAGAGUAUCAAUACUUUGGUCAAGAUAUCGAUUCUCUUUUAUUCGUGCUCCUUUUUUGAAUUUCGAAGCUCAAUUCGGUAUCAAUACUUGGGGUUAAGGUAUCAAUACCUUGUUUAGGGUAUCAAUACUUUGAUCCCUGUGAGUAUUUUAACUUGUUUAAAAAUGUUAGAAAAAUUGUUUAUUGUUUUAAAAAACUUCCAAAAUAAUUUUCAAGUAUUUGAAAGAUUAGAUUUAAAAUUUCUCUCUCAAAAUAUUUUGAAACAAAUUUUUACUUUCAAAUUUAUCAAGUUUUAUUUCAAAAACAAGUUUUCCUCAAAAACAUUAUAUUUGUUAUAUCAAAACUCUUAUCAAAUUAAAGCUCGACUUAACAAAAUAUAAUCUUUAAACAUUACAUCUAAAUAUUAAAAAUAAAAUGUAAACAUAUAAUAUACAAUUUAUUAUUAUAAACUAAUAAAUAAUUCAUUAAAAUUAAUGUUUUAAAAUUAAAGUUUAAUAACCAAAUUUAGAUUAAAAAACAAGAGUCAAAUUUAAUAAAAAUAUAUCAACGUUGAGGGCUAAAAUUGUUAUUAUACUUUUAAUUAAUUAUUUUUCUUUCACCUAUGCAGUUCUAUAAUUACAUUACAAAGCUAUUCCAUCCAAAACAAAAAGAAGUAAAUAUUUGGUUGAGCCAGAAGAUAGCAUAAAUAGAAAACUUGAUGCCUGUGAAGCUAAAACUCUCCCUAUGUAGCAACUUCGUAAACAUCACUUCUCUAGUUGUUGCGAUUGCCACCAUAUUAAUUUUUCCACUCCUCAAUUACAACACUAAAUACAAUUAUAAGUAAACAACAUUAUUGAAAGGUGAACUAUUAGUAGAUGAAGUCUGUGAGUGUUGGGGAGAAGCAAAAAGAAAAUUUAGGGGAUAAAAUUAAAUUGUAAUUUUUAUGAUAGUAAAAAUGUAAUUCCGUAAUUUUAAUAGUUUAUAUCUUUAUAAAUUUUAAAAGAUUAAAUUAAUUUUUUAUCAUUUUUAAGAGGGACCAAAGUUUAAUUUUACCUUUACUAUUUAAAAUUUAAAAAAAAAUUUAAAGAGCUUUUGCCAUAUUUGAACCUCCAAAAAAAUUUGACUAUAAAUAUCAUGCAGAGGAAUAAAUGAAUGUCUUUGUUACAUGGUAUGGUUGUAAAUGUAGUAUCGUUCACUUUUCUUUCAAUAUUCUUAUAGAUUAUGAAGGGUGUUAGAGAGUUGUAUAUCUACAUUUAUAUUUAGAUAUUCGUCGUGAAUUAAAAGUGUAAUACUUGAAUUUGUAAGUUAUUUAAGUUUGAAAAAAAUUCGAUUCAAUAAUUAUCAAUCGAACUCAAAUUCAAACAAUUUAAAUUAUCGAUUAAGUUAAAGUCAAACAUUUUAAUAUUUGAUUAAAGUAUCUUGCGAGCAAUCGACCUUCUUAUAUAUUCUUUAAUUAAUUUUCGGGUAAACUUUAAAAUUAGUCACUUUUGUUUGUCUUAGAUUACAUUUUAAUCAUUUAUGUUUGAAAUGUUAAGUUUUAGUCACUUACGUUAUCGUUUUGUUACAAAGUGGUCACUCUAUCUUUAAGCUCUGUUACCUCCCUAAUGGCGGUCCUACGUGGCAGUCCAAACGGGUUUUAAAUGCCAACUUUGAUGUCCUAUGUGGCAAUCCAAAUUGAAUUUAUUUAAUUAAAAACCUAUUUUCAUUCCAGCAACUGGACAUCCAAGUUGGCAUUUAAAACCCAUUUGGACUGCCACGUAGGAUUACCGUUAGGGAGGUAAUGGAGUUCAAUGGUAGAGUGACCACUUUGUAACAAAAUAAUAACGUAAGUGACUAAAACGUAACAUUUCAAACAUAAGUGACUAAAAUAUAAUCUGAGGCAAACAAAAGUGACUAUUUUUAUAGUUUACCCUUAAUUUUGUGCAAUGUAUAGAUUUAUUGCAUGUAAUUAUAAAAAAAAAGUUAAUAUAAAAUAAUUUAAAAUAUUUGUAUUUAAAUAUCAUGGAAAAAAUUAAAAUGCACGUAACUUCUAUACAAUAAAUUAAGAGCUAAAUUAGAGAUAUGAUUGAAUGACUGAAAACAUGAAUAUAACUUACAUUUGAUUUGUGCCAGUAGAGUAACGUGUUAGAAACAUAAAAAUUUUGGCACGUUACUAUAGUAAAUACAGAAAAUAAUCUUGGAAAAUUUAUAAUCUUAGAGGCUCAUAUAAAUUUUUUAAGAAUAUCAAAUUAUAGAUUGAUUUUGAUCUUGACUUCUGAUAUAAAUUAAAUUGUACUAUUGAAUCUGAAGGAGCUAAACUAUAAAUAGAGACCUUCCCAUUUGUAAGCAUCCCAUUGUAGCUCAUUCUUGAUUAAUAUCACACUUUUACAAGUAUUUACUCAAACACUUAGUAUGCUAUUGCUUUUUUGCAACUUGUUUUGUUCUCUCGUUUCUUCUUUAUUUUUUCGGUGCCCACUUUCGAGAAUAAGAUUGACUUAGGCGACUUUGAAGCAAAAGAAUCGCCUAAUACCACGCAAUUUGCAAGACUAUAAAGUUCUAGGCGCAUGACAAUAUUUUGUGGUUGUAAUUUGCUCCAAUAUUACAUUUGCUCUACUAGUUUAAAGUGUAAAGAUUAAGGACACAGAUUUCAUUUACUUCUAUGAUUGUUAUCAUUUAUUUAAGGGAAAUGUAGGCUUAAUGGAAAGCCACUUUAUAUUCAAUAGACGGUUAUUGUUAAGAUAUUAUUUACUUCGAAACCAAGACUGUUCAAACAUGGAUGGAGAGUGAAGAGAUCAAUCUAUUUUUUGUUUUCCUUGGUGAAAAUCUAUGGGUUUUUUUUUUUCAAAAAAAUUUAUCUAGUGCAAAUAACUUCCCAUCCUCAAUUUGCAGCAAUGACGUUAGCAACAAUUAUAUUAAUAUGUUAUUGCUUAUACUUGUCCUUUGAAGGUGGAAUUAUGAGUUCCAGACCUUAAAAUUCCUGGCAUUGUACUUGAUUUAUGAUCGGCUAUCACUUCUGUAUUUUGCAGAGAAAACUGAUGCGAAACAGAGUUUUAAAGCUUUUACGAGCUUUGGUUUCCAUUACUGAAGCCGUCUCUGAUUGUCCUAAAACAAUAAGAGUUGUUUCUAAGGAUUUGAAUGGUUUUCUCCAAUCAGAAAUAGACCAAAUUCCUAAUAGUUGGAAACAAGUUUCGAAAAUCACCAGGUCCAAGGAGUUUUCACAGUCCAUAGCAAUGUAAAGAACUGCAACCUGAAGGAGAUUUGAAGUCAAAUUCAACUCCGAGCUGGCUGAAUUGGUGUGUGGUGAUGAGUUUAGGGAGCUGAUUGGUGAUUGUAUUCAAGUUUCUGUAGUAAAAUUUUAAAGAAGAAUCAAUUUGUUGAAUUCUGAAUCAAAGGGUUUUAACUUUAGAUUUGAACUCCAUAAAUCUCACUGUUUUUAAUCUCAAUUAUAAAAGUGAGUACUUUUGGAUCGGGUUGUACUUAGCAGAGACAGGGUAUAAAAACCCUAGCAGAAAACAAAAAAAAAGAGUUUAGGGUUUUUUUUUUUUGGCUGCAAAUGAUUUUUCUGCCAAAAAAAAAUUAAUAAAGACACAAAAACGGUGUCGUUUUACUAAGGCAGAUCCGCGCGUCGACCCGACCCGCAAGCAGGGUCCUCGCGUUCAGGCCUUGAAUGGGAAAUUUUCGAAAUUAGGCCUCCCUUUUUGCGGCGCGCUUUAAUCAAACCCGUUGUUCCUCUUUUAAUUUGGCCCAAAUAUUUUACCUUCAUGACAUUUUAAUCCAGGUCGCUGCGCAGCGUUUUGGGGAGGUGGAUUAUUUCUGAUUUGGCCCCCCACGUAAUUCACGUGUUGCAAUUUACUCCUCCAUUUUGCUGAAAUUUCAUUAUUUCCUGUUGUUUUAGUUUUAUUGACUAUUUAGUCAUUUUUGUAAUUUUGUAAUUAUAAUUAUUAUUGUCUAUUAUUAUAAUUAUUAGUGUAAGUACCCCUUUUCACAUGGCAAUUUAUUUAUUUAUUUUUAUUCUACUAUGUAUUAUUAUUCUAGUUUUUUAUCAAGUGUUACUAUUAAAUUUUAUAAUGUACUAUUUUAUUUUUUUUUAAAAAUCUAUAUAAUACUUUUAAUGAUUUUUAUUUUUCAUAAAUUCACUCUUUUUUUAUGCUUUAAAGGAUUUUAUAUGAUAAUAUUCUUGUAUAAUAUUUUUAAUACACACGAGGGUUAUAUUUUUUUUCCUUUUUAUCUUGAUUUCAUAUUUUUAUAUUUAGUAACUAUAAGUUUCCACUUAAAAAUGUCUUUGGUUUUAAUAAAAAUCCAUUUCUCAAGACCCCAUUUUAUUAUAUGUUUUCUUCAUUUAAACUUUUAUAGCUAUAUGUAGGCAUUAUCGUUUUUAUAAAGUUUUCAAGCAUUAUUUCGUUAAGAUCAAUGAAUAUGUAUAUUAUUUUGUAUGGAUGUUUUUAAAUCUCCUUUUGUGAAUAUUCUUUUAAAUUUUUAUAAAUCCACGAGUGUUAAUUUGUUUAAUGCUUGGAUUGACUUUUAAUGCAUCAGUCUUUGAAUAUGAGCAUAAUAUAUGAUGUGUGGCUAUGGUUAUAUAUGUAUAUAUCAAUUUGCUCUUUUGCAUUUUUAUAUUAUUUUAUAUUCUAGAUAUGUAUUAUUAUGCCAUGCAUACAAUUACACUCUUAUUUCUCAUUAUUGCAUUGUGAGCCAAAUUUUAAUGUAUGUGAUCAUUACUGAUUUUCUUCCUUUCUUUAUGUCAAGCUAAUCAAUUAAAUAUGUUUUGAGUCGGCUUUAUAAUGCGUUUCAAAGUUUCGAGAAAUCGUACCCUAACUUACAGGGUCUCGAUUUUCUUGUUAAUUCGAAAUGUCCCUUUAUUUUCAAAAAUGUAUGCUUUUUGAUAAAAUUAAAAGCAAGUUACAUAUCAUCUUUGGAACUGUGAAGAAUCGUACUCUAACUUACGGGGUUUCGAUUUUCUCGCUGAGCUAAAACGGCUAAAUAUUUUUUAUCUUUCAAAGUCGUUAAAUUUCAAUAAAUUUUUUAAAGGUUAAGCUUUUUCUUGAGAAUUUGAAUGUUGUAUCUAACUUACGGGGUACGACAUUUUGUUGGCUUGAGGUGGGAAAGCCUUUUACCCUCGAUCAAAUUUAUUCAAAUGUUUUUCUAAAAUUUGUGGUAUUAAUCAAAGGGGAAUCAUUUUUUAAAAAUCUUGGAUUUUCAUUAUUCGACUAUAAGACAUCUGUUAAUUAAUUAGGUACCAAUUUUGGGCGUUAUGAGGGUGCUAACCCUUCCUCAUACGUAACCGACUCCCGAACCCAUUGUUUUAAUUCGUAGACCAAAUUUAUUUUUAGGUGAUCCGAUCACACCUUAAUAAAGGAUCGGUGGCGACUCCAUUUUCAUUUUCAAAGUCAAUUCCUGUUUUUCAAAAAAAAAAACGGUUUCGACAAGUAUGUUACUAAUUGGUAUUGUAAUUAACUAAACUACUUAAAAGGUUUAUUGAAGUUAGUUUUUAAACUAAAAUUCUAAAUUGAAAACUAUCUUUUAAAGUGUUAUACAAACAUUUACUUAUUUUAGACAACAAAUUAUGAAAAGGUGAAGAUUUCAAUAAAUUAUAAAGUAAAAUAUAUCUUUUAAAAUGUGUCAAUUGAGGACAAUUGUGCACUUCUAACUUCUGCAAAUACGAUUGUGUGUGCAAAAUGUCGUCCAUAUCCUUUCCUUUCAAUUGAGGCAAAUCAAUCAACGAAACCUAAAAUGAAAAGCAUAAUAAAAUUUCCCAAUCUUUGACCAUAGGACAAUAAGGAAAAGAGAUGUCAAGUUAUUGCAAUGAGAUACACACACUUCCCUUAGACUCGCACUUGUGGAUCUUGGAUUAUUUGUUUCAACUGCGAGCAACUCUUUAUCGUCAAAGUAUACAAUUGCCCAAGGGUAGUAGCAACAGACAGUGGGAAGAGAUACUUUGAGUUAUCGCAAUUUUCAACUUCUAUUUCCCUUAAACUCUGGAGGCUUAUAUAUGGCACUUGUGAGUCUUCGAUUAUACCUUCCAAGCUCCGGUAAUUCUUCAUCUCCAAAGUAUGCAAUUGCCAAAGGCUAUAGCAACAGACAUUAGGAGGAUAUAUUUCAAAUUAUUGUAACUCUCUGUUUCAAUAAUCUUCAAACUUUGGAGGCUAAAAUGACGAUGGAACAAAGUGUUAAUAUAAUAAGUAUAACCAUUUAUAUUUUUUAAGUAUAAAAAUUAAAAUCCCUGAAGUAUGAACUUUUAAUGCAUAUCUUUAAUUUAUUUAGGUAAAGAUAUAUUUGAUUUUAUUUAAGAAUGAAUAAAAAAAUUAACUAUUACAUAAUCACAUUACAAUGGCAUUGUAUUCAAAGUGUUUCUCAAAAUAACCAUCUCAACUUUUAAUAUAAUAUUAGAUUUAGUUAUUAGUAUUUAUAUAUUAAUUUGACUUUUAUUUUUUAAAAACUAAAUUUAGUUAUUAAUUUUUUUAAAAAAAACUUAAAUUAUUUUUAAGCUCCAUGUAUACUUCAUGUUUAUAUGACAAUAUUUAUCUUAUAUAUCACGUCAAUAAAUAAUUUAAAAAUUAAAAAAUAACAUGAAAUACACAUAGAUAAAUACAAUAAUUUAUCUUAUCAUUUAUUUAUUAUUUUUUAUUGAAACAGUGAAUUGGAUCCCUACCAAAGAAGUAUUCGAUAGGCUCAUUUGAAUUGUUACUCAAACAACUCCAUUUUAAGUUCUCCUUAAUUGCAUUUGUAAGUAGCUCGUCUUACUUACAUGUUUUAAUUUAAUACAACAUUUUUUUGAGAUAAAAUCCAUGUUAGUGAUUUGAAUUAAGGCAUAAUAUCUAACAUAUCUCAUUGUGAUAUUACUAUUUUAGGUUAAAUGUAUUCACUUAAUUAUAUAAGUAACACGUUUCUUAUUUUUUUAAGAUAUAAAUGAACAAACAUAAAUAGUAAUAAACAAAUUAUAAAUAAAUAAAAGAAACACAUAAACAAUAAUAGUAUUAAUUAUAUAAUUAAACAAUAGUUGAUUUUAAAUGAUUUACUAAACUAGUUUUAAACUAGCAUGAAGAUAAUUAGUUUGGAUAUGUUUCAAUUAUAUUACGUUAAUUUAAUAAAUAAAUUUUAAAAUUUUAUUAAUGUUGAUUUAUUUAACUUAACGAACGAAUAUAAAUAAAUAAAGAUCCAACUCAUAAACUAUUUAUUUACAGCCUUAAACUUGACUUAUAUCUAUUUAGAACACUUAAGUAACCGUAAUUUAUUGUCAACUUUAGACUUCAAGAACUAGAAAUGAAUAAGAGUUGGAUGGAUUUGUUAACGGUAAGCAACGAAUAUCAAAAUGGAGUACAAACUCUUCUAAAUUAGUUUACAUUUAAAUUUUUAUAUUUAAAUAAUUUAUUUAAAGUGAUUGAUCUACAAGUUAACUCACGCAUUAACUUAUAUUUAUACCUUAUCUGAGAAAAUUUUAAUUUUUAUAAUUAAUAAAAUUUAAUUUACAAUUAACUUACUAAACUUUUAUGAAGAAAAUUAGAAACCCCGUCGGUUAAAACUAGUUAUUUUUCCUUUUAAAAAAUCUAGUUCUUUUUUUUUAAAAGUAAUGUUUUAUUAUUUUAUAUAUUUAAUAAAAACUUUUAUAAAGAAAAUUAGAAACCCCAUCGGUUCAUGUUCAGCUUUAUUAAACUAAGAUUAAAAUUAUGCAUUUUAAUAUUUAUAUUAAUAUAUUAAUACAAAAAACAUAUAUUUUAAUAUUUUUAUUUACAUACAUUAAUAUAUAAUUAUUUUAUUAUUUUAAAAAAUUAAUAAUAUUAAUAUGUUAUUUUAAAAAAUAAUAAUUUUAUUUAUUGUUUUAAUAUUUCAUAAAAAUUAAAUGUUAUAAUAUUUUAUUUUGUUAUUUUAUUAUAUUUUAGUGUAAAUAUUUUUUAAAUACUAAUAUUUUAUAUUUUAUUUUAAACUAUAUAAAAAAAGAUGUUAAGGGUAAGAUGAUAAAUUAGUAAAUAACACUUGUGUUUUAACUCAUAGAAAAUACAUGAUAAGAAGAUUAACUAUUUGGCACAAGUGUAAACCGUGUUAUCCUAUCUCCUACCCCUAAUAUUGUAUCGAAAAACGCUUGUAAGAAGAGUGAUAUAUAUCCAAAUUUCAACAACCAUACAAUUUGAUGUAGUAGCAUCUAUCUUUUAUCCAUCAUUUAAAAGUUGAGUGUUAUUUAACAUAACACUCCUCUUUUACAUCAAGCCUACCAAAUAUAGUCACGGUGCUUGCAGAAGUACACACUUUUGUAGUCACUUCUGCUCAUACAUUGCUUGUUAAUUAGCAACUAUUUUAGAUCAACAAAAAAUCAUUUAAAUGAAUUAAAUUUUAUUAAUGGAGUUUGAAAAAGGAUUUUUUAUUGUAUAUUUUGUAUUUUUUUUUACAAAAAGAAUGGGAUCAAAUUCAAUUUCACAAGUCUUAGUGAGAUUAGUUUGAAAGAAGUUAUUCAAUAGCAUGGAACUUGAAUGGAAGGUAUUACUAAAUUUGUCCUAUUUUGUUUUAAAUUUGUUAUUGGAUUCUAUUGAAUAAUUUUUUUUUCUUUUUUAUGUCUCAGUAUUGAACAAUCUUGAGCUUUAUUGCAAUAUAAUAUUAAGUUUUCUUGUAUGAACAUUAGUUUCUAAUCACAUUUAAGCUUUGUGCAAAAUGAAUAUUAUAUUAAGAUAUUGAAAUUGAUCUAUUUUUUUUAUCCAUUUUCAUGAUUUAUGGCAAUGUUGAAUAUUUUGUUGUUGCAGAAAUCAUAAUUUUUAUAUAGAAUUUUCUAUUUUUAAAAAAUAAUGUUGAGUUUUUAAAAUUAAUUUUAUAUAGAAUUAGGGUUAAAUGGAGAGAAAGUAUAAAAGUUAAGGGUUAAAAUUGUAAUUAUAGUAACUAAAAAAGUGUGGUUGUUAGCUAUUUAAUAGUUGGGCAAAAAAAUAUUUUUAAAAACGUUAGUGGCCAAAUUGUAACUCUUUUAAUUAAAUGACACAUAAUUGAGGGAUUAAUAGUGUAAUUUAACCUUAUCUUUUUUAAACAUAUGGAUUAAUUCACAUUUAUUUGGAAUAUGUUAUUAGUUCACAUAUGGAUUUAACUAGUGGUGGAGCUAGAAAAUUUUUUGGAGGUCAAAAUUAAAUUGUAUAUUUUUAUGAUAGCAAGAAUGCAAUUUCACUAUUUUAUAGUCUAUAUCUUUAUAAUUUUUAAAUGAUUAAAUCAAUUUUUUUAUCAUUUUUGAGAUUAAAGUGUAAUUUUACUAUUAUUAAUUUAAAAUUUUAUAAAUUAUAAAGGAGAUAAGUGAAAAAUUAUCCAUUAAUCAACUCAUGGCUCUACCACUUGAUCGAACACAUAUCACGAGUCCUUUCCCGCGUGUGUCAAAUUUUUUUUAUAUGGUUGAAAUAUCAUCACAUGUAUUUAUGUUUGAAUACACAUCGCAAAACCUUGAGUUGUUUCGGCAUGACCUAGAGAAAAAAAAAUGGAGAAACAUGAAGGUAGCUUAGAAGAAUCCAAAAGCAAUAAACGAAAGCUAGACCAAAGGUUGAAAUCAUCAUUAACCAAGCCUUUACUUUUUCUAACGCCGGGAAGAUUCUAUAUUCGUUGAGAAAAUCGGCAAAGACUUUGUUAUCUUUUGGAAGGACUUGUAAAGAAACAAUUUUUUAUAUUUACGUUCUGAUGUUUUUCAUAUUAACAUUAUUGAUGUUUCUAAAUUUACCUUCUGUAAUGUUGGAACUAGUUGAAGAGUCCUCAGAUUCUGAAGAGGAAUCAAAUUUUAGUCAUCAGCAUAGGAUGGAAGAUGAGAAGUUGCUGUCGGCAGUGUUGGAGAGCAAAGGAGAAGGUAAGAAGACUGCAACUCAAGAGGAUGGAGGCAAAUCAGAAAUGGGUAGAUGACAGAAUUGUGAAUAGGACUCUCAUAUUCUGGGUCCAACUUAUGCAAUACUUCUAUGAUCUGGGAAGCGUGUAGAGAUCCACAAAUGAGUUUGCAGUGAUUGCUGCGGUCCUCUCCAACAAGGAGCCAAUUGUUUUGUAGACACAAUGGCUAUGGAUGGGAUGGAAAGUUUAUGGUUAAACUAUUCCCCUUAAAUUCACGUCAGUAUAAAAUAAAAUGUAAAUUAAUUUAAAAUUUUAAAAUAAUUUUAUUUUAAUUUUUAAGUCAAGAAUUUUGAUGAGUUAAAAUUAUAAGAUAAAGGCUUAUUUAUUACAAAAAUAAUUCAAAAACUUGUUUAAAUAAAGUGUAAUAAUUUAACGGAAUUUUUAAUAUGUUGGCCAAAGAAAUUCAUCUAAGUAAGAAAUGAGAUUCAAUUGAAGUUAACAAUGAAGAAUGCUUUUAAUGUGCCCAACAUUAGACCAAUACAAAUAAUUGUAAGUUUUGUAAAAAAAUCUUAGUUUUAUUUUUUAAUCUUUUUUGUAAUAGUUAGUCCAUUCUUUUUUUAAUCUUUGAUUUUUGUUUAUAGCUCAGUAAAUCAGUAAAUCUGUCUUCAAUUUAACGAAUAAACGGUACAUAAUAACGAAUAAAUGGCAUUCAAUUUAAACGUUCACAAUGCUUAAUUUUUAAAUAGAAAUUACUUCAUUUACUGCCAAUUGGCCAUUCUAUAUGCUUAAUUUUCAAAUAGAAAUUAAUUCAAAAAGAAAUUACUAAAAUCAAAAUGUAUGUCAUCUUCCUCUUUGGUCCAUUCUAUAUUACUACCAAUUGGCCAUGCAGUUUCUUGAGCUGUAGCAGAUUCUUCCACUAUAAUUUCAUCAACUGAUUGGCUUGCCUGCAAAGCAAAUUAAACCUUCACUUAUUACUGUUUGCUUUUGAUGAUUGAUGAUGACAAAAGCAAAGCCAGUUUUCCAAAAUUGGACAAAGGAUGACAUAUUUAAAAUAUUGAAAAUAAUAAUGCAACAAGGAUAUAAAUCUAGAAAGAAAUAUUGACAGCCAGCAAAAACCAAUUACUGUUGAUGCAAUUUUAUUUAGUCAUUUAAAGCAUAAAAAAGAAAAAGAAAGAAUUUCUCUCAAGCAGCCAAAAUAAAAAUAUUGCAUUAAUGCAUAGAAAUUAAAGCUUAGUAUUGGAAGGCUACAUAGAGAAAAUAAAUGAAUGGAUGAAUUUCUGUUUUAAAGCUUAUUGUUGAGUUUGGAAGAGUAGUGUACCUGUGUUUUCGCAUGCACUGAUUUCUCUGAAUCAACAUUAAAUCUUGUGGUUAUGUUGGGACAACUUUUUACAUGAAACCCAUCAAAAAUGGGAAAUCAAAAUGAUAACCCACAGGACUGAAGCUCACGAGAUUUGGUAGCUCAUAAAGCUCUAAGAUGCGGAGCUGAGGAAGGCGUAUCACUUUCUCUUCUUCCUUAUUCAGAUUUGACUCAUCUCCUUCAAACACCUGCUCUAAUUUGGAGACCCAUUUAAGGCAUAAUCUCAAUAGGUUUGGAAGGCCGCCAUGAGCAAGAGUAAUGGCAUUCGGUUGAAGUUCACAAUGAAGAAUGGUUAUGUCAGUCUAUAUGGCUACCACUUUUCUUUUCUACUACUUUGAAUAAAGCUCAUAUUUAUUUCUAGACAAGCAUAUCUUAUACAUGUGCAGAGGAUAAGUUGUUAAACUAAAAACUAUUCUUUUUUUAAACUCAGAUUAAUCAAUAGAAUUCACAUUAGUUCAACAUAUGGUUCACUUUGUUUUUUUCCUUAUAACUCACUAAAAUUUGUCUUCUCUCUCAAGGAAAAGAAAAAGUAGGCGGUAUAUACUAACAAAUAAAUGACAUUCAAUUUAAACACUCGCAAUGAUGAAUUUUCAAAAUGAACUCCUUAAAUAGAAAUGAAAUCAUUUAUUGCUCCAUUCAUUCAUUUUCUAGUUGGUUACCGACUUGAUUAAGUAAUGAACAAGUAAAAAUAGUGAAAGAAAUUGAAAAAUUGGACACAUAAAUUUAACGUGGAAAAACUCUUCCAAAGAGGAUAAAAAAUCACGGACAAAAAUAAUUUUACUAUAAUGGCAAAAGAACGAAGAAUACAAGAGAUGGAGAUAAAAACUAAACCCCGAAACUCGAAAACAAAGAACCAUCAAAAUAUAAAUAAAAAUUUCUUCAAAAGUGUUAUGAGAUCUAUUCUUUUUGGGUGUAUUUUCUAAGUUUGUAAAAGAACUUAUUUAUAAGAUAAAUUCGUAGGUCAAAUAAUAAUAAAAUAAUCUAGACUAAUCAGGGUUCGAAUGAAAUGAAUAAAUAGAGUUUAAUUAUCUCUCAAAUUUGACUGAAAUAUGAGGCAUACUCAACAAGUCUCCACCUUAACUCAAUUUUCCACAAUGUCAUCAUUUCCAAAACCUACCACAGGCCUAUCUUGAACUAUGCAGGGAAUUAAUUGAGUCGAAUCUGUGCUUAGAAGCUGCAAGACUUCUAGUCUUCGAUGUAACACCCCAAACCCGUCCUAGACAUUAUGGGCGAAUCUGGAGUUACAAAAAAGGGUUUUGAAAAUAGUGAUAUUUCGACCAUCCAUGUUUAUUGUGGUUGUUAAUACUAUAUUGUUUUUAGCUAUUUUAGUUGUUUAGUAAGGAUUGUAAUAAAUCUUCAUUAUGUUAGCAAGUCUCGAAAUCUCUAUGUAAUUAAGAGACUUGUAUAAGUUGAUGCACAAAUUAUUAAGAGCAUUUAUAUGUUCAAGUGAAGAACAUUAUUUUGCAAGAGUGCAUUUGUGAUUGUAAAAUUUUGUAUUGUGGUUUUGCAAACUAAGUUCUCUGAGGGAGAAUUUAGUGGUGAGUGAUCUAAUAUUCAAAGGUACAAGAGUGAGGAAUCGUCAUUGGGGUGUGAUACAUUUAGGUUCAUUGGUUGUAAUUGUUUAAAUAUAGUAAUUCUUCUCACUAAGCAAGGCUUCACAAACGUAGGGAAACUAAACUGCAUAAACAAACUUUGAUGCUUCCUAUUUUGUUUUUGCUUAUCACAGUGCUUGUAGAAGUACACACUUUUGUAGUCACUUUCAACACGGAGCCAAUUGUUUUGCAAACACAAUGGCUAUGACUGGAUGGAAAGUUUAUCGUUAAACUAUUCUCUUUAAAUUCCCAUUAGUAUAAAAUAAAAUAUAAAUUAAUUUAAAAUUUUAAAAUGAUUUUAUUUUAAUUUUUAAAUCAAGGAAUUUGAUAGGUUAAAAUUAACUAUAAAAUAAUUUAACUCUUUUAAUUAAAUGACACAUAAUUGAGGGAUUAAUAGUGUAAUUUAACCUUAUCUUUUUUAGCAUUAUGGAUUAAUUCACAUUUAUUUGGAAUGUGUUAUUAAUUCACAUAUGGAUUUAACUAGUGGUGGAGCUAGAAAAUAUUUUGGGGUCCAAAAUUAAAUUGUAUAUUUUUAUGAUAGCAAGAAUACAAUUUCACCAUUUUAAUAGUCUAUAUAUUUAUAAUUUUUAAAGGAUCUGAUAAUUUUUUUAUCAUUUUUGGGAUUAAAAUGUAAUUUUCUUAUUAUUAAUUUUAAAUUUUAUAAAUUAUAAAGGACCGAAGUAAAAAAAUUCCCAUUAAUCAACACCCUUGGCUCUACCACUUGAUCGAACACAUAUCAUGAGUCCCUUCCCACGUGUAUGGCUGAAAUAACAUCACAUGUAUUUAUGUUUGAAUACACAUCACAAAACCUUGAGUUGUUUCGGCAUGACCUAGAGAAAAAAAAAUGGAGAAACAUGAAGGUAGCUUAGAAGAAUCCAAAAGCAAUAAACGAAAGCUAGACAAAAGGUUGAAAUCAUCACUAACCAAGCCUUUACUUGUUCUAACUCCAGGAAGAGUCCAUAUUCGUUGAGAAAAUCGGCAAAGACUUUGGUAUCUUUUGGAAGGACUUGUAAAGAAACAAUUUUUUAUAUUUACGUUCUGUAAUGUUUUUCAUAUUAACAUUAUUGAUGUUUCUAAAUUUACCUUCUGUAAUGUUAGAGUUAGUUGAAGAGUCGUCAGAUUCUGGAGAGGAAUCAAUUUUUAGUCAUCAGCAUAGGAUGGAAGAUGAGAAGUUGCUGUCGGCAGUGUUGGGAGAGCAAAGGAGAAGGUAAUAAGGCUGCAACUCAAGAGGAUGAAGGCAAAUCAGAAAUUGGUAGAUGACAGAAUUGUGAAUAGGACUCUCAGAUUCUGGGUCCAACUUAUGCAAUAAUUCUAUGAUCUGGGAAGCGUGUAGAGAUCGACAAAUGAGUUUGCCGUGAUUGCUGCGGUCCUCUCCAACAAGAAGCCAAUUGUUUUGCAGACACAGUGGCAAUGGAUGGGAUGGAAAGUUUAUGGUUAAACUGUUCCCCUUAAAUUCACGUAAGUAUAAAAUAAAAUGUAAAUUAAUUUAAAAUUUUAAAAUAAUUUUAUUUUAAUUUUUAAGUCAAGAAUUUUGAUGAGUUAAAAUUAUAGGCUAAGGGCUUAUUUAAUUACAAAUAUAAUUUAAAAACUUGUUUAAACAAAGUGUAAUAAUUUAACGGAAUUUUUAAUAUAUUAGCCAAAGAAAUUCAUCUAAGUAACAAUGAAGAAUGCUUUUAAUGUGCCCAACAUUAGACCAAUACAAUAAUUGUAAGUUUUUGUAAAAAAUCUUAAUUUCAUUUUUUAAUCUUUUUUCUAAUAGUUAGUCCAUUCUUUUUUUAACCUUUGAUUAAUGAGCAGAAUUCACAUACUUUGUUUUUGGUUAUAGCUCAGUAAAUCUAUCUUCAAUUUAACGGAUAAAUGGUACAUAAUAACGAAUAAAUGGCAUUCAAUUUAAACAUUGACAAUGCUUAAUUUUCAAAUAGAAAUUUCUUCAUUUACUGCUCCAUUCAUUUUAAAAUUCAAAAUGUCUUUCAUCUUCCUCUUCGGUCCAACAUAUAUCACUACCAAUUGGCCAUGCAGUUUCUUGAGCUGUAGCAGAUUCUUCCACUAUAAUUUCAUCAACUGAUUGGCUUGCCUGCAAAGCAAAUUAAACCUUCACUUAUUACUGUUUGCUUUUAAUCAUUGAUGCUGAAGAAAGCAAAUCCAGUUUUCCAAAAUUGGACAAAGGAUGUCAUAUUGAAAAUAAUAAUGCAACAAUGAUAUCUAGAAAGAAAUAUUUGUUAACAUUAAUGGGAGACAACAUUAAUGGCAAACAAUACAAAGUGGUGCAAGUUUAGCACCCUAAAGUUGACUUUGAAAAAGUGGCAUGGGAUAAUUUUUUUGGUCCUUGAGAUAAUGGGCUAUUUAUUGUUUGGUCCUUAAACCUCAACUAUAAAUAGGCCUUCUCAUUUCUCAUUUCAAUCAUCCCAACCAAUCUUUCUCUCUUAGUUUUCUCUCUUCUCCCAUUUGAGAAUUCUCAAGGAAUUCUAUUUGUUUGUAAUAUUGUGAAGAUAGUAAAGUUAUCAUCUGGUGUUAGUGCCCGAGGACGUAGGUAUAAUUUACCGAACCUCGUUAAAACUCUUGUGUUCUUUCUUGUCCUAUUUUUCUUUCAAUAUUUGAGGGUAUAAUAGUAGUAUUUAAUUGUGCUAUUAAAUUACUAUAGAAGGGAUAUUCUGACUAAGGAAAGACUUGGUAUUUAAGAGAUCCAUGUGAUCCACCUCUCUUCCCUGGGAAUUGAACUUUGUGUGAUUUUUUAGUACAAUAAUUUACACGCUUCCGACCCUAUUGGAAAAACAAGUGGUAUCAAGAGCCGAAGGUUAAUCGUAGUAUGCUCUGUGGUUGCAGUUUGAACUGAUCUUCCACAUCAGAAAAGAUUUCCUUAGGUAUAUUGAAAGAUUAUGGAGAAAACGGUCGGUGUAGGAGCUUCAACAUCGUCCAUGUGGACAAGACCGACAAUUGCAAAUGCAAGAUUGGCCGUGGAGAUCUUUGAUGGCACGGGCCAUUUUGGUAUGUGGCAAAGUGAGGUUCUAGAUGCCCUUUUUCAGCAGGGUCUAGACAUUGCCAUUGAUGAAGAGAAACCAGAUGGUGUACAGGAGAAAGAUUGGAAGGCGAUCAAUCGGUUGGCAUGUGGCACAAUUCGAUCAUGCCUUUCUCGAGAGUAGAGGUAUGUUUUUUCAAAGGAGACUUCUGCAAAUAAGUUGUGGGUGGCACUUGAAGAAAAUUUUUUGAAGAAAAACAGUCAAAAUAAGCUCCACUUUAAGAAAAGACUGUUUCGCUUCACAUACGUCCCAAGUACCACAAUGAAUGAUCACAUCACCAAAUUUAAUCAGUUAGUCACUAAUUUGCUGAAUAUGGAUGAGACAUUCAAAGAUGAAGAUUUGGCUUUGAUGCUGUUGGGGUCACUUCCUGAGGAGUUUGAGUUCCUAGAAACUACUCUACUUCAUGGCAGGAGUGAUAUAUCUUUGAGCGAAGUCUGUGCGGCCUUAUACAGUUAUGAACAGAGAAAGAAGGACAAACAGAAAAACUCAAUCAGAGAUACAGAAGCUUUAGUAGUCCGAGGUCGUUCAUACACUCGGAAGAAAACUCAAAAGGGGAGAUCAAAGUCAAAGUCCAGACUCGGGAAAGAUGAAUGUGCUUUUUGUCAUGAGAAAGGCCACUGGAAGAAAAAUUGUCCAAAGCUGAAGAAUAAGGGAAAAGCUGCUGUAGAUGCUUGUGUUGCUAAGCAUGAUACUAGUGACUCUGAACUAUCACUGGUUGCAUCAUCAUCGUCGUUCCAUUCAGAUGAGUGGAUAUUGGAUUCGGGUUGUACCUAUCAUAUGUCCCCUAACCGGGAGUGGUUCUCUGAUUUAGUAGAACUAAAUGGAGGAGUUGUUUAUAUGGGCAAUGACAAUGCUUGUAAAACUGUUGGGAUAGGUUCAAUCCAAUUAAAGAAUAAAGAUGGAUCAACCAGAGUUCUGACUGAUGUUCGGUACGUGCCCAGUUUGAAGAAAAAUCUCAUCUCAUUGGGAGCCUUGGAAUCCAAUGGUUCAGUUGUUACUAUGAGAGAUGGGGUUUUGAAAGUGACAUCUGGCGCACUUGUGAUAUUGAAGGGCAUCAGGAAAAAUAACUUGUAUUACUACCAAGGUAGUACAGUUAUUGGAGCAGUCGCUGCAGCUUCCGGUAACAAAGACUUGGACUCAAUGCAGUUGUGGCAUAUGAAGUUGGGACAUGCCAGCGAAAAAUCCUUGCAAAUUCUGGCAAAGCAAGGAUUGUUGAAAGGUGCAAAGGCUUGCAAAUUAAAAUUUUGUGAGCACUGUGUUCUGGGAAAGCAAAAGAGAGUGAAAUUCGGCACUGCUAUCCAUAAUACAAAAGGUAUUUUGGAAUAUAUUCACUCAGAUGUGUGGGGGCCUUCCAAAACACCUUCGUUGGGAGGAAAACACUACUUUGUUACUUUUGUUGAUGACUUUUCCAGAAGAGUUUGGGUGUAUACCAUGAAAACUAAAGAUGAAGUGCUUGGAGUUUUUCUUAAAUGGAAAACUAUGAUCGAAAACCAGACUGGCAAGAAAAUCAAGCGGCUUAGGACGGAAAUGGAGGGGAAUAUAAAAGUGAUCCGUUCUUCGAUGUGUGCCAAGAGUAUGGUAUUGUUCGACACUUCACAGUUAGGGAUACACCACAACAGAAUGGAGUGGCAGAGCGUAUGAAUCGAACAUUGCUAGAGAAAGUUCGAUGUAUGUUGUCCAAUGCUGGGUUGGGCAAGCAAUUUUGGGCUGAGGCUGUGACAUACGCUGGCCAUCUUGUUAAUCGUUUGCCAUCAUCUGCAUUAGAAAGAAAAACUCCUAUGGAGGUAUGGUCUGGAAAACCGGCUACAGAUUAUGAUUCCUUACAUGUGUUUGGAACCACUGCAUAUUACCAUGUGAAGGAGUCAAAGUUAGAUCCGAGGGCAAAGAAAGCUCUCUUUAUAGGAAUCACUUCUGGAGUGAAGGGAUUUCGUCUUUGGUGCUUAAGCACAAAGAAAAUGAUCUGUAGCAGAGAUGUUACCUUUGAUGAAUCUGCCACAUUGAAAAAGGUAGCAGAUAAAGAUAUUCAGACGAGCAAUACUCCACAGCAGGUGGAGUGUACUCCAAAACAGGUGGAGUUUGAGCAGAUGGGGAUUUGCCCAGUUAAUAAGUCUAAUUCUCCAGCCACAAUGGAGGAAUUAGAGGUUGAAGAGGUUCUGACCCAAGAACCACUAAGUACACCAGAACCAGUUGUAGUUGUAAGGCCACGGAGAGAAAUUCGUAAACCUGCUCGAUUUACUGAUAUGGUGGCCUACGCCCUUCCCGUUGUUGAUGAUAUUCCUAUCACUUAUCAAGAAGCAAUGCAAAGCUUAGAAAGUGAUAAAUGGAAAAGCGCCAUGGAUGAAGAAAUGCAGUCUCUCCGGAAGAAUAAUACUUGGGAGUUGGCGCAAUUACCGAAAGGUAAAAGGGCAAUCGGAUGCAAGUGGGUAUUCGCAAAGAAAGAUGGAUCUCCUAGCAAGAAGGAUAUUCGCUACAAGGCAAGAUUGGUAGCUAAAGGCUACGCUCAGAAGGAGGGAAUUGACUACAAUGAUGUAUUUUCCCCUGUUGUGAAGCAUUCCUCUAUUAGAAUUUUGUUGGCCUUGGUAGCACAGUUGAAUUUGGAGCUAGCUCAACUUGAUGUUAAGACGGCUUUCUUGCAUGGUGAGUUAGAAGAGGAGAUCUAUAUGACUCAGCCAGAAGGAUACACAGAUGCUGGUGGUAGAAAUUGGGUUUGUAAGCUUAACAAAUCGCUAUAUGGAUUGAAGCAAUCCCCGAGGCAGUGGUACAAGCGAUUUGAUAGCUUUAUGAGAAGGCAGAAGUACACAAGAAGCAAAUAUGACAAUUGUGUAUAUUUGCAGAAGCUGCAUGACGGAUCUUUCAUUUAUCUACUCUUGUAUGUUGAUGAUAUGUUAAUCGCUUCGAAGAGCCAAAAUGAGAUAGAUAAGCUGAAGGCUCAGUUGAAUCAAGAGUUUGAGAUGAAAGAUCUAGGUGAGGCCAAGAAGAUUCUCGGCAUGGAGAUAAGUAGAGAUAGACCGAGAGGCAAGCUCUGUUUAAAUCAGAAGCAAUAUCUGAAAAAGGUAUUACAAUGUUUUGGUGUAAAUGAAAACACAAAACAUGUAAGUACCCCACUUGCUUCUCAUUUGAAACUUAGUGCUCAAUUAUCUCCGAAAACUGAAGAAGAAAGAGAAUAUAUGGCGAAAGUCCCAUAUGCUAAUGCAGUUGGGAGUUUGAUGUAUGCGAUGGUAUGUACGAGGCCUGACAUUUCACAAGCUAUUGGAGUUGUGAGCAGGUAUAUGCAUGAUCCUGGAAAAGGACAUUGGCAAGCUGUGAAAUGGAUUCUACGGUAUCUUCGAAAAACCGUAGAUGUUGGUUUAAUUUUUGAACAGGAUGAAGCACUUGGUCAGUUUGUAGUUGGAUAUGUUGAUUCCGACUUUGCUGGUGAUUUAGAUAAACGUCGUUCAACUACGGGGUAUCUGUUUACUCUUGCGAAAGCCCCAGUGAGUUGGAAGUCUACCUUACAGUCUACAGUAGCUGUGUCUACUACAGAGGCAGAAUAUAUGGCAGUUACAGAAGCUGUUAAGGAGGCUAUUUGGCUUAAUGGAUUGUUGAAAGACUUAGGAGUUGUUCAAAGUCACAUAAGUUUAUAUUGUGACAGUCAGAGCGCUAUUCAUUUAGCGAAAAAUCAAGUCUAUCAUUCAAGAACCAAGCAUAUCGACGUAAGAUAUCACUUUGUGCGGGAAGUCUUUGAAAAAGGAAAAAUUCUACUUCAGAAGAUUCCGACAGCAGAUAAUCUCGCAGAUAUGAUGACCAAGGUGGUAACAACAAUCAAGUUUAAUCAUUGUUUGAACUUGAUUAACAUCCUGAGAAUUUGAGCACCUUCAGGUGUAUGGCGCUCGAGAGUGCAUUUGUAGGCACUACAAAAGACAGCUUUAUCGAAUUUGGGGAGUUGAAGGAAGUGUGUGAAGAUGUGAUUAUCCUAAUCAAAUCUUCAAGGUGGAGAUUGUUAACAUUAAUGGGAGACAACAUUAAUGGCAAACAAUACAAAGUGGUGCAAGUUUAGCACCUUAAAGUUGACUUUGAAAAAGUGGCAUGGGAUAAUUUUUUUUGGUCCUUGAGAUAAUGGGCUAUUUAUUGUUUGGUCCUUAAACCUCAACUAUAAAUAGGCCUUCUCAUUUCUCAUUUCAAUCAUCCCAACCAAUCUUUCUCUCUUAGUUUUCUCUCUUCUCCCAUUUGAGAAUUCUCAAGGAAUUCUAUUUGUUUGUAAUAUUGUGAAGAUAGUAAAGUUAUCAUCUGGUGUUAGUGCCCGAGGACGUAGGUAUAAUUUACCGAACCUCGUUAAAACUCUUGUGUUCUUUCUUGUCCUAUUUUUCUUUCAAUAUUUGAGGGUAUAAUAGUAGUAUUUAAUUGUGCUAUUAAAUUACUAUAGAAGGGAUAUUCUGACUAAGGAAAGACUUGGUAUUUAAGAGAUCCAUGUGAUCCACCUCUCUUCCCUGGGAAUUGAACUUUGUGUGAUUUUUUAGUACAAUAAUUUACACGCUUCCGACCCUAUUGGAACAACAAUAUUGACAGCCAGCAGAAACUAAUUACUACUGAUGCAAUUUCAUUUAGUCAUUUAAAGCAUUAAAAGAAAAAAAAAUUUCUCUGAGGCAACCAAAAUAAAAACAUUGCAUUAAUGCAUAGAAAUUAAAGCUUAGUAAAUAUAGAGUUUGGGAGAAUACAUAAAGAAAAUAAUUCAAUGGAUGAAAUUUGUUUUAAAGCUUAUAAUUGAGUUUGGAAGGAUAGUGUACUUGUGUUUUGGCAUGCACUGAUUGCUUUGAAUCAACACUAAAUCUUGUGGUUACGUUGGGACAACAAAAAAAGACACAUUUUUUCCAUUUCCAUUCACCUAGUGAAAACUUUUAACAGAGGAAGAAGAAUAACAAAUAAUUUCAAAACAGAGUCGAAAAUAAGAAGUCUGGAAAUCCAGCCUUGGAUAACAAAUAUCAUCAGCAAAUAAGUUAUAUUCUAUGGUCUAGUUCAACAACUAGCCAAGUAACAGGUCAUGUACAUUGAGAAUGGUUUUGAUAACUCUAAUUGUUGAAAGUCCAAAUUCAGUCAUCCAUAAAAAAAAAGCAAUUGAUCUUUGCAUAUCCCUGAAUCAAAAUAGACUCUCAGAUAACUUUACCCUUUCAAUCAUUAAAUGGCACCUUUCCCUGCAGUCAUCCAUAAGCAAGAAGAAAGAAUUCCUAAAAAUGGCUUCUUUUUUUUUUUUAAACCUUAAAUCCUUUUGUUUUCAUUAAAAAAAUUCACCUAAUUCAUUUUCUGCCCAAGCCCAAAGGCCCUUCCCUUCAAACAAUUUCCAUGAAGAUACCAGUAGGAACCAGAAUUACUUUUGCUCUCUCCAACAUGGUAAAGCUGCUAUUUUACAUGGUAAAAAGACACGCAAAGCAUCCAAAUCCUUAAAAACCAACCACUAAAAUGAUCACGAUUGUGAUAGUUUUUCCCCGGAGGUUCCCAAAGAAACAUCAGAACCAGCUAUUAAAAGUUGACAACGAAUUGAAUUCCGAGCAAAUAUCAGAAACAAAGAGGCAUGGGUAUUGAAGAUUAAAAGCCAAAGAGAGGAAGAAAGAUAAAAUAUGACCAAAUAAAUGGAAGAAUCUUAAAACGUUGACAGUUACCUGAAAGAAGUAUAGCUAUAGAAUUCAACAUCCAAACACAUAAAGAGAAGUGAAGCAGCGGAGAAAACAGUCUGUCCCAAACGAAGAGCCAAGCUGGCGCUUGUUCCCAACGCCCCUGGCACUGCUUCCAUCGUCCCUCAUGUCAUCUUAUCUUUCUGUUUCUUCUUCUUUAGUGUAUUCCCCUAAAACCCAAUAAAAAAGCAGAGGCCAAACACUAGGAGAAGGGAUUGAAACAAUAGAAUUCAUGGCAGAUUUGCCUGAGAAAGAGAGAAAGAGAGGAAACGAAACAGAACAUGCUGAGAAGAGAAGAUAUACGACGGACUUUUACCUGGAAGAGAAGAUGAAGAACGGAAGAAGGAAAAUGAAUGAAGAACGGAAAAAGGAGAAGGAGCCUUACCUGGAUGAAGGAGGAACCGGAAAAUGUCUUGCAGAAAUGAAAUCCAUAAGACAUUUUCCCCUAAAACCCAUUUAUUUUACUCGCGUCUUGGAAAAUCAGGAAAACAUUUUCCUGCAAACAAACAGACCUUCAAUUUAAACACUCGCAAUGAUGAAUUUUGAAAUCAACUCUUUAAAUAGAAAUGACUUCAUUUAUUGCUCUAUUCAUUUUCUGUUGGGGAUCAACUCAAUUAAGGGCCUAUUUAGUAUUACUUAAAAAAAGUAUUUUUGAAAAAAAUACUGUGCUAAACAAAUUGUUUUUGGUUGAAAUUUGUGUUGCAUAGUCAUCGACAAUCCUUUGCUGCAUCGUUUUUCAUUCUGUUUCUCUUCGCUUCGCUUUCUCCAGUAAAACCACCUGCCAUUUAGUUUCUCAUCAUUCCUCUCUUUCUUCUACUUCUUCUUCUUCUUCUUCUUCUUUUUUUUUUUUUUUUGCAUACAUAAAUUUAUCCCUGCGCCAGACUACUCUAUCAUGCUGCAACUGCUUUGACGUCUUUGCCUUGUACAAUAUAGUUUAAGUUUGAUCUUGUUUCUAUUUUUAUCUCUUCCUUUUCAUGUUCUUUGUACUUGUAAUAACCAUUUACCCUAGAUUCAAAAAAAAAAAAAAAAACUUUGCUUAUUUUCUUUUAUAUAUGUGGGCUAGAAGACUUCAUUAAUUGAAGGAAGAGGGAGACUUCAUUUGAGAUUGAGGUGAGUUUUCUUGGCUUUUUUCGAAGAGUUGUGUCUUAGAAACAAAUGGAGCUGUUCUUUCAACUCAGUCCAACUGAAAACACAACGAGAAAUUUAAUAAACAAAUAAAAUCAUAUACGAGUGUAAUGUCAUAUAAUUAUAACUAAAAAUAAGAAUUCAAAAUAUUUUCACCCUCACACUAAUAAUAUUACAGAUAUAAUGCUGGAAAAUAUAAUAAACAAAUCCACUUACCAUUUCAAAAUCCAAACAGUCUUUUAGCUCUUACUUGCUUCAAGAAAAACAUAAAAGAUCAAAAAAAAAUAUAGAGCAACUUCAAUUUAUAUAUAAAAAACAGAAAUGAAGCAUAUAUAAAUAGAUUUACCUCACUUGGGAACUUUUUAUUUUUAUUUUUUUAAUCUUUUUUCUAAUAGUUAGUCCAUUCUUUUUUAAUCUUUGAUUAAUGAGCAGAAUUCACAUACCUUGUUUUUCCUUAUAGCUCAAUAAAUCUGUCUUCGAUUUAACGAAUAAAUGGCAUUCAAUUUAAACAUUCACAAUACUAAAUUUUCAAAUAGAAAUUUCUUCAUUUACUGCUCCAUUCAUUUUAAAAUUCAAAAUGUCUUUCAUCUUCCUCUUUGGUCCAUUCUAUAUCACUACCAAUUGGCCAUGCAAUUUCUUGAGCUGUAGCAGAUUCUUCCACUAUAAUUUCAUCAACUGAUUGGCUUGCCUGCAAAGCAAAUUAAACCUUCACUUAUUACUGUUUGCUUUUAAUCAUUGAUGCUGAAGAAAGCAAAUCCAGUUUUCCAAAAUUGGACAAAGGAUGUCAUAUUGAAAAUAAUAAUGCAACAAUGAUAUCUAGAAAGAAAUAUUGACAGCCAGCAGAAACUAAUUACUGCUGAUGCAAUUUCAUUUAGUCAUUUAAAGCAUUAAAAGAAAAAAAAAAGAAUUUCUCUGAGGCAACCAAAAUAAAAACAUUGCAUUAAUGCAUAGAAAUUAAAGCUUAGUAAAUAUAGAGUUUGGGAGAAUACAUAAAGAAAAUAAUUCAAUGGAUGAAAUUUGUUUUAAAGCUUAUAAUUGAGUUUGGAAGGAUAGUGUACCUGUGUUUUGGCAUGCACUGAUUGCUUUGAAUCAACACUAAAUCUUGUGGUUACGUUGGGACAACCUUUUACUUUUAAACGCCUAAAAGAUUGGAAAACAAAAUGAUAACCCACAGGGCUGAAGCUCACGAGGUUUGGUAGAUCAUCAAGCUGUAAGUAGGUUAAUCGAGGUAGGUGCAUCACUUUCUCUUUGUCCCUACUCACAUUUGACUCAUCUCCUUCAAACACCUGCUCUAAUUUGGAGACCCAUUUAAGGUAUAACCCAUUUAGGUUUGGAAGGCCGCCAUGAGCAAGAGUAAUGGGGAAGAGACAUUUCAAGUUUUCACAGUUAAUG
RNAcentral lists this long non-coding RNA (49881 nucleotides) under Gossypium barbadense (sea-island cotton). RNAcentral describes it as "long non-coding RNA (GBAR_LNC016661)". Lineage: Eukaryota; Viridiplantae; Streptophyta; Magnoliopsida; Malvales; Malvaceae. The record is from RNAcentral.